GGAAUCUUGCUCCCUCAUAGAGUUUUAGUAAUUGAUCCUUCACCGGAAGCAAGAAACUGGUGUAAGAUUCUGUUAGCUCCAUAAUAAUAUGUAAAAGAUGAUCAAUAAAUUCGGCCACUAGGUGCUUAUUCUUCUCCAGGGCUAAAGUGUGUGAUGAUGGUGACAACUUGGAAGCUGUCAAGACGUGGAUAUAAGUUUCUCGGACUUGGAGAUCAACGGGAUCAAUCUUCUUUUGUAUCAGUUGAGAAAUUUCAGAUUCCAUCUCAUUGCACACCCGUUCAUCAUUUCUCUGAAACCAAGAUGUAGAGAUCAGGCUUGCAGCAUUAAUGGCCACAACUUCAAUGUGAACUAACAGAUCUACUAAUUGCUGACCCUUAACACCUUGUAGUGUUGCAAAGCAAAUGAAACUCUUCAAGAACAUUAGCUUCUCUUGAAGGGUUCCCAUUACACUUUGCAGAGCUGCAUCAUCCCUGUAAUUUCUGGUGCAAAGACGCCUCAGAUUCUCUAAAAUGGAAUCGAUGAUAUCCAUAACCAGUUGUGAAUCUCCCAGCAAGUAGUAAUGCAAUAAACUAACGAUGUUUAAUUCCUUGAUAUCUGAAUCAAAAAUCAACCGAAUAUUGCCCUCGAAUCUGUCGAGCUGGCAUUUGAAGUCAUCAGGCGAUCUACGUCUACCGAACUGUCAGACUCAGCAUCACCCCUGUCCUCCUUAUCAUAUUCCAAACACAUACACUCUUUGCUUCUCUUCCUCCUAAAAUUUCUAAUAUACAGAUCAAAGGUUUCCAAUAGACUUAUCCCCAUGUUCAGCUCCCAGAUAUGAGAUUUGAACAGACCUUUGUACCUAGAGUCUAAGUAGUCCAGAUGAUUACGAGCAACAUCGAAGCAACUAGUGCUGCUGCUGGAGGAGAUGUUCCUCAUGGUACCUGCUUUUCACUCAGAAAUGAGAUUUCUGCCUAUUGUAGCCAUUGAUAUUCAAGAUCAACAACUUUCUUAUUAUCUAACAAUAUUCACAGUUUGCCAUCAGGACUCUAUCUCUCUGUUUUUUUUUCCCUUUUUUCUUUUUUGCGUGUGGCAGGGUGGUGCUAAAAUAUUGCAAGACUUUACCCUCUUCCUCUUGAGUCUUUGUCAAGGGAAGUUCGCAUCGAUACAACAGGCAUAAGCUGUUGGGGUCCCCAUAUCAAAGAUUAAAGCAUUAGAGACGCAUUCAGCUGAGGCCUGAUGGCUAUGUAAUUUGCCACAACCUUUUUUACCGCAACAAUAUUUUUUACCACAAAACGUGAAAGGCAAAAAAAUAGAUGAAAGAAAAUCAAUCUAUACUACUGUAGUUUCAAUCAAAUGCGAAUAUGGCCAGCACUAAAAAUGAACAAAAUGAGAAAUAUCAAUUAGAUUAGCAGUCAGAUAAACAAUAGAAAAAUCAGAAGAAAAUGAUCCAUGGCUAUUGUUUAAGAAUGUAUAACUAAAUGCAUUUAAGGAUUUAGAGACAAUUGUUUUAAUUGCCAAUGUAUGUGAGUGCUGAUGCUUUAAUGCUUCUUUUUUUUAAUUUGGCAACUUCUCCAAAUUUAAAAAGUUGUAUAAUAAGAAUAACAAUUUUACUCCUUUUCCUGUGUGAGAUAACUUGAGCCUGUAAACCAUCUAAAUCAUUUUUUCUUUUUUUGGUUUUCUACAUGCACCGAGAAAUAAUAAUAACCUACAAGUACGAAAAAUCUUGUGAAGUGAAGACAAAUAUUAAUAGGGCAAAUUAUACUUUACCCUCCUGUAAUUUAGUUUUUUUUUACAUAACCCUCCUAUGGUUUAAAAAGUUAUAUAUAACCCUCUCAUAAUUUGAAUUAAAGUGUCAAAGUGACGGAAAUGAUCAUUGUAAUGGAAUCACAUAAAAUAUCAAAAAUACCCUUAUGUAAAGUUAAAAAUUAUUUAUUAACCAAGGGGGUUAUGUGUAUAUUUUAAAAAUCAUAAGAUUGUUAUACGGUAAAAUAUUAAAUAAUAAAGGGAUUAUAUGGUAAAACAUAAAAACUAUAUGGGGUUAGUGUGUCAUGUAUUUAUAAGGUAAUUUCGAUAUUUUUAAAAGUUACGAAUGACUAUUUCGGUUAUUUUGACAUUUUAAUUCAAAUCAUGACAGCGUUAUGUAUAGUUUUUAAAUCAUAGAGGGGUUAUGUAGAAAAACACUAAAUCACGUGAGGGUAAAGUAUAAUUGGCCCAUAUUAAUAUCAUAGUUACUCAUCAUAUCAUAUCACAUGAAAUUCAGUCACAUAAUUGCUUCACCUAAAAUCGAUAGGUCACGGGUUCAAAUCAUCAUGGGAUUAAGUGAGACACCACUAUUAAAUCCUCUUUUAAAAAAAAAAAAAAACUUCAGUACUUUUAGCACUGUAUGUAUUCAAAUCAAAAUUUAAUUUAUCUAAUGCUGAGUCAAAUAAAAAAGCUGAAAUUUCCUCCUAUUACGUCCCAGGCAUAAGUGAAGCGAUGAUAUGCGAGUAUGAAGUGUCAAGAACACAUGGAAGCCGUGUACAUUUCAACCACAAAAUAAUGUGUGGAAAAAAGAAAAGAAAAAGAAAUUCAGCACUUACUUUGGAGAGAAUGAACGCUAUGGCAACAAGUGAUCUGUUGAAUCUGCAGAAAUUUCAUUUAUAUGGUGAAGCCACGUUUAAAAAGAAAAACUUUAAACUUAAAAAAAAAAAAACGAAAUUCAGCACUCACUUGAGAGAAAAUGAAAUCCCUGGCAAUAGCUGGUGAUCUAGUGAAUAUGCAAAAAAAUUCCCAGUAUAUCUUGCACCUACUCACUCAAAAUUAAGUUCAAGAAAAAGAAGAACACUCCGAGGAAGAUGAAUGAUUUCAACCAAAAUGAAAGAACUCGAACAUGCAAGACUUUUUGCAGUGAGCUGGUCCAAAGUCAAUGUAACGGACAUAGUAGUCCUAGUAGCGGUAGGUUAGGACCUAUGUUUUCAGAACCGGACCAGAUAGUGACUCGGCCGAGGUCAGGGGUCAGGGGUCAAUGAGUUCGACCGGGGGUCGAUAGGGGUCGAAUCGGAUGACAUCAUAAAUAAAAAUUAUUUAAAAAUUAAAAUAUUAUAUAUAUAAUAUCUAAUAAUAUAUUGAUAUUAAUAAAGGUAUAUUCAUAUAUAUUUGAUGUUUCAAAUAUAUUUAACAAGAAAAUACAAAGAAAUUAGAACAAUCAAGUAGCAAUUUAUAUUAUUUAAUAAAUAUUUACAAGUUUAGAAUUCAAAUUAUGAAUUUAAUUGAAUAAUAACAUCAAAUUUUAGGACAAUAUUUAUAAAGUAUUAAAUAUUUGAGGUAUAUCAACAAGUUUUAACAAUUUAGGGGGUCAAAACAUAAUAUUAAAAAGUUUGAAUUUUUUUUUUUAAAAAUUACUGUUGAACCGGAAAAAUCGAUUUUUUUCAGGUCAAACCCGAUUUUUGACCGGUUUUGACCGGAUUUUAAAUUUUCGAUUUUUUAAUAUGACUCGGACCGGCUAUCUGACCGGUUUUCGGUUCGACCGACCGAUCCGGUCCGAGUUUGAAAACAGAGGUUAGGACUCACUAUUUUUAUUAUAAGGAACUCUCUUUGAUUUUUGAGUGUGUGGUGGGGAGGGAUGGUGGGCGUGAAACCUUAUCCUGACAAGAUGCUGUGUUAAUCAAGAAUUUGGCAAGUGCGGUAGAAGACUUUGACGUGUGUGGUAGAAUACCGUGUUUGCUAUAAAAUUUUCCUUUGCAUACUUUAUGUAAUUAUUGGUCACUCUAAGGUGGAACAUGCAUGCUAUAUCAGCGGGCUCAGAUUUCACGAGAACUGUCGACGGAUAUUGAGUUAAUCAAUCUCAGAAAUUAGUAUAUUUGGUGUAAGUUCGUAGAGUUUUGAUAUAAUUUUAAAUUUUAUACAAAUUUAGUUAUAUGACGUGAUAAAUUUAAAUUUACAGCCGAUUUGGACGAUUUUACACCAAAAGAGGAAAGAACUAGACCAAUCGGUUGGAUUGGACAAAUUCCAGCUUAUGAGACCUGUGAUAUAUAUAUAUAUAUAUAUAUAUAUAUAUAUAUAUAUAUAUAUAUUUAUAUGAAGUAUGGUUUGGCUAAUUGUUACCUGUUGAAUAUUUGAAAGAGUGCUUAAAUGCAAAACAUAUAAUAAUUGGGAUUGUGUAACGAAUAUCCAUGCCGAUUGGAAAAACAAAACCAUAUAACUAUAAAUAUAAAUAAAUAAAUAAAUGAUUGACUAUAUAUAUAUAUAUAUAUGUUUGUAUGUAUGUUUGUAGUAAUAUGUUUGGAAAAAAAUCCGAAUUCAAAUUUAUGCAACUUUCGUAUGAUCUAACAACUAUAACACAUUGCCAUCAAGAUUCUCUUCUUUUGCGUACACGCUACCUACAAGGAUCUCUUUUUUGCUUGUGUGGUGGAGAGGGAUGGUGGGGCAUGGUACGCAUAAAUAUCGCAAGAAUUUUCCUUCUUCCACAUGAAAUUUUUUGUGUAUGUGGUGGGGAGGGAAGAUGGUGGGGCGUGGUACUAAUAAAUAUUAUAAGACUUUUCCUUCUUCCACUCGAAACUUUAUCAAGAGAAGCUGUGUUAAUCAAGGCUUACAUGCGUGGUUGAUGCGGUAGCAAAAGCAUAAAAGUAGAAGGGGUUUCAUGAACACCUUUCAAAUGACAAUCAUUACACGAAUGAAACCCAGCAAUAAAUCAAAGAUUCAUAAAAAUAAGAGAAAUUUCUCAAUAAUUUGAUAAAACCAACAAUAUUUGAAUUACUAGAAGGAAAUUCUUUUUACAAAAGCCCUAAAGAAAAUAAUAUGUAAACUUUUAAACAAAUCAACUACGUAUCUGGAUGCAUUUAGGAUCCUCAUUGACACAUUUAGUACUAAUACUAAUAUUAUUAAUUAAAAAUAAAUAAAAAUAUAGAAAUCUACCCUAAUUAGAAUUCUAAAUAAAGUAUUAACAAUAUAGAUGAAGAAUUCCUGAACCCAGGGACCCUCUAAAUAUAUUGGCAGUAUAGAUGAGGAAUUUCUGAAACCAAGGUCCUCGUUGUGUAUCAGUGGUAGAAGACUUCUGUGUGAGUAAGCAGACUAUUUUUGCUCCUAAAAUUUUUCCUUUGCAUACUUCUUGUAGUAUUACUGGUCACUAUAAGAUGGAACAAGCAUACUAUAUUUUUCCUCUGUAUACUUCAGUAGGCUUAGAUUUGUUUUCCUCCUAAAAUUUUUCCUUUGCAUACUUCAUGUAAUAUUACUGGUCACUCUAAGAUGGAACCAGCAUUCUAUAUCAGUAGGCUUAGAUUUGUUUUUCUCAUAAUGACUCUUAGAAGGAUAAUCAUAUGUUGCCGCAAUUUCGCAAAAACUGUUGACUGGCUACAUGAGUAUAUGAUGCAUAUUGAGUUAAUCAAUCUCAGAAAUUUUGAUGUACAAAUGACUAGAAAUUAAAGAUGCAUUCAGCUAAGGGACACUUUCUAAGACCCAUGGCUGCCAUUACACAAGUACAAAUAGGGAUCUUUUUGAAAUAUAGCAUAGGUGAACAGAAAGUUCCAUGAAUUGGGAAUGCAUACGAAAAAAUGAAGAAAUCAUAGAUGAUAACUCAUUUUCUCAUUUCGAGUACUUGACUCUUGAAUUGAGACCAUUCCGCUAUUAAUCUAUGUUCUUGGCAGGCAUUGUUUUACAGUGGUAGCACCUGGGACAAGGAGCAUCACAUCACAUAAAAAAAAAUAAUGAACAUUGUAUCAUUGGUACAAAAUAUUUUUCAAGAAUUACUGUCGCGCCCCAUUUUUCGCGAUGGAAAAGAAAGUGUUUAUAAAAAGAUAUGAUUUAUUAAUAAUAAAUGAAAAAGGAUCUAGAAUGGAACUUAAAAAAAAUGCGAUAAUUUGGGUCCAAAAUUUAGUCUAAAAGGGUUUUGAAGAAAAAUUAGAAGUCUCCACUUGGUAUCGAGUUUGGGUGUAUCAAGUCACCCAAAAAGUGUUUUUAAAUAAAAUAAAAUAAAACCCUUUUCGACAACUCCAGGUCUUUGAAAACAGAGAAAAUGAGUUCGGGAGUCACGGUUGAAGAAAGGGAAGGCAAAGGUUCAAUUAUCUCAAACCUAAGGCACCCUUUCAACCUAGUCUAAGCUAGUUGCAUGGUUUAGUCAAAAUUUUCUUAAUCUAACCCUUAAAUUUAUCACAUUUGGAUGUUUUCUACAUGGAUGCAAAUCUAAAUUUAUAAAAUAUCGAAAGGGACAAAAUAUCCAUUCAAGGAUUUAAUUGAAACAAUCGCAUUAAUUGCGAAGGCCAAAAUACUUCUUUGAAAGGGUCACGAGUAUGCAAAUGAUGAAAAAAAGAAAAGUAAAGAAAAGAAAUUAAAUUAUAUACAUAGAUAUAAGUAAUCAAAGAAAAAAGGGAAUGCAACAUAAAGGGUAUGGGAGGCAAAAACUUGUGACAUAAUUUUCUUAUACAGGGAUUAAUGGAGUAUUUAAACUAAAAAAUUAUAAUCAUCCAUUUUCCAUGUUUGAAAAAUAAUUCCCCUAAUAUGACCAAGCAAAUGAACCUACUUAUCAUACAAUUUCUUAAAUGAAAUGCAAUUCUAAGUGAUAUGAUUAACACAUAUUGAGAAUAGGGGAUAAUAUAAUAGGGAAUAUCAUGCAAAUGAGAAAAGAUUCUAAAAAUGAAAAUAUGCCUGAAAAUGUAGUGAAUAGCACACAAAGAUGAAUCUAGCGCAAGACGACCUAAAAGGUCUAGUGUUGGACUAGCCAAUUUCUAGAAAUCCUUACUAACGUUGGACUAGCAAGUAAGCGGAGGGAGAAGCCACAACUAGCGUUGGACUAGUGUGGUGACGUCAUGCAUUAACAAUUCAUAGUGAAACAAAUAAAGCAUAAAUGAAAACAAAUAAACACAUAAGAGCACGUAGCACAUAACACGUAAACAUAAUAUCUAGAUGCCAAAAUCCUAAGAAAAGCGGAUAAAACACAUAACAUAUAAACCACAUAAACACGCAACCUAUCUAUUACAUCGGAGAAUCUAACUACAAUCUAAAAUGGAAAAGAUAUGAUAAAAUAAAAUUAGCUAUCCUAUCUAUUACAUUUUUGAGAUAUUUAAAUGCCUCUCGAAUAAUUAUAAAAAUUAACUAAACAAAUAUAGUAUAAGAAAAUUUAAAUGAACAUUUAAAUCCAAUAAAUAAAACAUAUAAAAAUACAUAAACACAUAGGAACACAUAAGAGCACGUAAUUGACAUUGAAAUAAUAAAAAUAGGGGUACCUCCCAUUUGAAGUGGUGACUAAAUGGAGUCAAAUUGUCCUAUUUAUACUCACAAUGAACAAAAGAAUCAUGACACCAAUUUAAUUGAAAAAAGUAAUAAUAAUAAUAAAAAUUCACCUUAAUAUGUCAAACGUAAAUAAAUUUAAGAAUAUCUAAAAAUUACAGGUUAAACAUACUCAAAAAUAGCAUAAUUAGCUAUUAAAGAAGAGAAGCAAUCAUAAUAAAGAGAGUCAAAAUUCAUCAGAGACUGAAUUGCAAAAAUUGAAAAACUUUUAGGGACAAAAAUUAUAUUUUUCCAAAGUUCAGAGGUCAAAAUUAAUUAAAAGAUAAAGUUCAAGGACCAAAGUGAAAUUAAUUUAAGGACCUAGGUGAAAGAAAUUUAAAAUGUUCUGGGCUACAGUAAAACUACUGCAAAGAUCAGGGGCCAAAGUGCAAAUCGUAACCAGAUCUUCUUAAAAAAACAGGCCACUGGGCCAUUCUCUAUUUUUUCCGGGCCAAAGGCCAUUCGGCCCAAACGAAAGUUCAAGCUAAAAUACCCAGGCCAGCCCGUUUUGUUAUAGCUCAAGCCCGACGAAAAAAAUACAUGGGCUCCAACCUCCUAGCCCAACCGAAACCCAAAAGAAAUAAACACAUAUCCAUUCCCAAAAUCCAACCAAAAAAUAACUCUUGGCCCAUCAGAGAAAUAAACAUUAGCCCAAUUCUUUUUUUUUCCUUUUUCCUUCCUUUUUUCUUUCUUCUUCUUUCUUCCCGCCGUUUCCUUCUUUCUGCUUCUGCUUUCUCCUUCUUCUCCACCGAGGAGCUGAAGCUCCCUUCUGGCUGGCGGCUAUGGCGGUCGCCGGCAGCACCACCGCCGGUCGCCAAAAUUUCUCAAAAUACACCUCUCACUCGAUUUUUCGCGUAGAUUCCAUUUCCGGGCUUAGUUUUAACAAAAAUUGACCCUAAAGUGGCCAAAAAGCCAAGAAAUCAGUUCAGUUUUUAUUUUCUUAAAACCUUUAAACCUCCACCAAAAAUCAUAAAAAAUUAUGCCAAAACCCUCCUUAUAACUUCUACAUUACAACUAUAAUCUUAGUUUGACAGGUAAACAACAACAAAAUGAUGCAUUAAGUCAAAACAGCCCCAAAAAUAAAGAAAAUAUUUCAAUGCCUUUAAAGCUCAAAAUUCCAAAAAAUUUAGAUAAGCAAACAUUUCUAGGCCUGGUGCUAGCUAACGAUCAUCCGUUUUGACAACAACAUGCACAAUAUUCAGCUUUUAAAUCCAUUUUUCCAUUUCGGCAUUUUAUCAAGCAUUUGGCAUGCAUUCACAGCACCGUUUCUUUUUUCUUAAUUUUAUACAGGCUUGUCCCAAAAACUUCAAAAACACCACAAUAGCAACAAAAAUCAGUGAAAGGAAGAGAAAAAUAGGUAGCCAAACAUGCAUUUAAUCUAAUUAAUUUAAAAAGGAAAAGCUGGAAAAAAUACCUCAAUGAGGUUGUGGUCCCUUGACUAAAAUUUUGAGGAAGUUCCAAGCUCUUUGUCCAACCGGCGGCUGCCUCCUUGUGUCUGAAUAGUGUGUGGGUGUGUUGUGUGAAGUGAGCAAAGAGAGGGAUAUGGCCGAGAGAGUGAGGGAGCUUUCUUUCUUUUUCUGUUCUGUUUUCUUUCUUCUGCCCAGUCCGAGAGAGGGAGAGAGUUGGGGAGUGCUUUUUGUUUCUUUUUUUGUGGCUUGUCUUCUGUGAGAGGGAGAGCCGAGUGAAGAGUGAAUUCAGGGAAAAAGGUGGGGAGUUGGUAUUUUUCUUGUCCAAGGGAUGGUCUCCCUGUCAGAGCCGAAAGAGUACAUAUUUUUGAGCCCCAAAGUGUCAUUUUUUUUUUCUUGUCAGUCCCACCCUCGAGAGAGUGAAUUAAGGGAGUGUGUUUUGUAUGUUACUUUUCUUUUCUUCUUUUUUUUUUCUUUUCUAAACAAACCUGCAAAAAAAAAUAAGAAAAAUGCACGUUAAAAUGUAAGAAAAUAAAUAAAUUAUUAAAUAGAAAAAUCUUGAGAAAAUAUUAAAAAUUGACAAAAAUUUGGUGUCUACAAUUACAUUUGGAUAAAUUUCAUUUUGACCCCCUAAACUAUUUGCAGUUUCCCAUUUCAAUCCCUAAACUUCAAAAUGGGACACUUAAGUCCCCAAACUACUGAAUCCGUCCCAAUUAAUUAAAAAUAUUGAUAGAAUCCACAAAACCAUCAGGGUUUUUGCGUCAUGUAAAACAUGUGCUAUUGACCAAGGGCAAGGAUGGAAAUUCAAAUAAAAUAUAUUAAAAAAGAAAAGGGAAUUUAUUUUUAGCACAAAGGAGGGAAAGUUUCCCUCCUUUUAUCCAGCACAUUCGGGUCAUAUAAUCGACCCGAUCCAAUUCACAAAAGGGAAGCGAUGUUUCCUAAGAAAAUAGAGACCAAUUGGCUGAAUUUUCAAAUAAGAGGUAAAAACUAAGAAGAAAAGAGCAUAUGAAGAUAAGAAAGGAGACAAAGGAAAGAUCGCAUGUUAAAUUUAUCAUAAUUAAAUUUUUUGUAUGUUAGAAAGACACUCUGCUUACUUUGCUUUAAGAUGUGAAAGAAUCGCUAUCCUUACGAUGAAUUUGCUCCAACAAUAAAGGCAACCUUCUAUAGGAUAUAAUAAAACUGUUCUCUUGAUUUCUCAAAAUAAAGUGUAAAAAUCGUACAUCAAUUUUGAUUGAAUUCUCGUUAUAGAUGUUAAAAGAGGGUGUUUUAAGAGUUGUUACUGUGUUUUAUAUAGCGGAUAAUUAUAGUUACAACUACUGGAGUUGGAAUGGCCAAACAUUUGAGUCCAAACGGGCAUAGUGCCUAGAGAGCUAUCAGUAAAUCUUGACACAGUUCGGACUUCAAAACAUUUAGUUUGGCCCACGAACAUCCACUUUGACAGAUUUGCAUAGUUUUUGCAAACUACUCAAUGAUUCCCCACUAAUUUGCAAAACUUAUGUAUCUUAACCCAUGGAGUCUUCAAUAAUACAACUUUAACUGAUGAAUCUUAAGCAUAAUUAGAAGUAUCUCUUGAUUUAAACUUCCAACUGGUGUAGGUGAUUUAAAUUUUUAAUGGAGUUGUUAGAGUUCUUAAAUUGAACUAUAACUCUUAUAUGUCAAAGAUGAAAACACAACACAAUUAAUGAUUGUCUUCUUUUCUCAAGAGGUUAAUAUGAACUUUAAUUAGAGCUAUUUUAGCCACAUGCUAAUCCUAGUUUCACAAUCAUCUACAAAAGUAUACUCAAACUCUUGUUGAAAUGGCAUCACUUCAAUACUUAUACAGGUAAAUUUGUACUUGUAGAGUUCUAUGUUUAUGUCAUGCAAAAACAACAGCAAUCCCACUCAUGGGAGUGCUGUAAAGUAAAUAUUAUUGACUAGGAACGUAUGUUAAGCAAAUUUCUUUAUGAUUUACAAAGUCGAAGCUAUCGAACCAGUGAGACUGUUUCUACCCAAGUCCAAAUGAGACAGAUAUUCGAAAGAAAACAAUGACCUUGCAAUACUUCCAAUGAAUUUAUUGCUCUUCAAACCGAUGUAUGUUAUGUGUGCGCAAUUCAUCUAACAAUCAGGAAUUUCUCCUGAUAAAGAAUUCUUUUAAGAUCUAGAAUUGCAAGACCUGAUUUUCCAUUCUUCAUUUCACACAAAAAGUGAGAAAUACCUUCCGAAAACAAAUAGAUCGAAAGGUCUAAUUGUUUUAGAGAAUGAGAAAUUGAUUGUGCUAGUGGACCAUUGAAUCUGUUUGACUACAAUAUAUAUAUAAUCUUUCAACAAUUUCAGAGAUGUUUGAACUCUUACCAUGAAGUCGAUUAUGAGAAAGAGACACGACUUCUGCUGCUGAGUUGAAUAACCAACGAGGAUAGUAUUUGAAAUUCCUGUGGAAGAUAAAUUCAAAUACCGAAGGGUUUUUUGGUAUUGGAGCCAUAUAGGAAAUUGAAGACCGAGAUUCCAACAACCUAAUCCAAGUCUUUCAAAUGUGCUAAAAGAGAAGUUGGCAUUAAAUGGCAUGGUGGUUUUCAUCCUCCACUUUCUAAGCACUGUUACCGGUCAGAUUUUGUGGCCUUCAAUGCCAACAAUGUUUCUUAUCGUCCUAACACUACUAGCUUCGCUUAUCGAUAUUUCCAGUGAAGAAAUCGAGAAGUUGCCCCACUAAUGGGGAAGGUAUUUUUUUCAGCAAAAUUGAGCAUCUUAAAUUGUUGCCUUUCUUUAUUCUAUUGUUAUAUUUCAAGUGAAAGAUAUCAUGUCAAUUUAUGGAACAUGGAUGAAUUAAUAUGAAGUGGACAGAACUUGGACCAAGUUAAAAUCUCAUUUGAAAUUCCCGACAUUUGGUGUUGAACACCGAUCAUAUAUAUGCUCAAACCAAAGCAGGCCACUGCAAAUGGUGCAGCUAGUUUCGUUAGAAGCCUGAUUAGGCCCUGUCGGGGCGGUGGAACAUAUUAGACUAGCAGAUGUCAGUCUAUUGAUCAUUGGCAUGAAAAUGCCUUCUUGGAUGUCUUCAUGUACCAAUUUCGAACUUGUGUAGCACUAGUUUUACCUCUUCUAGUUGCCAAUUCUCUAUUCUUAACUAAAAGCUCAUUUCUCCAAUUUCUUAUUCAAACUUAAUUACAAUUGAAGGUGUCCACUUGUUGUGAGUGCAAUUAUCCCAAUCCAGAAUCCCCUAUCAAGAAGAGGUGGUCAAAUUUUUGGUCCAUUAAUUUGCCGUUGGACUUGAAAAUUUUUUCUUUUGAAUAUCAACGGUUUCAAUAGUUAUGUAACCAAAACUUUAGAAUAAUAGUUGUUGAGUUGCCUUCUAAAUUAUGUAACCCUAAUUUCGUUACCAUAAGUAUAGGCACUAUAGCAUUGUCCUUCUAACUAUAGCAUUGUCCUUCUAAAGUUUUGUCCUGUAUACAUGAAUGUUGUCAGUUAUUUGCUAGCUAGUAUGUAAUUAGCUUCCCAUUGUUUUGUAACAUCCACAUGUCACGUUUGCAAGAAGAUAGAGUCCAAUAUAUUUGACGUUUUGACAGUCAGCCAAUCAAAAUAAAAUACCUAUUUCACAAUAAUAAAAUUAGAGCUCAGUGGUGAACAUAUCGUACCAACAAGGAUUAGAAUGAUUUAUUUCUUUCAAAACAAUUAAUAGAAAGGGGGGAUUUUGGAGAUUAAACCAACUAAUUAUUUAAACACAAAAUAAACAUACAAAAACUAAGUAAAAUUAAAUUAAUAAUAAUGGAGCUCUAGCAAAAGUAUUAACUUCCGAAAUGCUUUUCUUGACUAUCUUGAUAGUCAAAGUACGACCAUUCACUACUUUCCUAAUUGAAAAGAUAAUCAUAGGUAUGAUCGAACAUAGGAUUUAAUCUUACAGUUGCAUUAGAAAUAAAAAAGCUCAAUUCUAAUCAACAAACACGCUAUGGAGGUUUAUUUAAUUUUCAUUAUAUGUCUCCCUAACACAAACUCAAUCAUGCCAUUUACCACAAAUAUUGACCAAUAGUUUGUUAAGCUCCUUUGUUUUCCUUCAAUCUUCUGUACAGCAUUAGGUACAUUAAAUUAAGAAUCUAGUAGGAAAGUAAAAAGAAAGAAAUAGUCAGACAUUCAUACUUGAAAUUCACAAGCACAAAGUUUCCAGUAGAGAAAGAUACUGAAACUGCUAAGAUAGGAUAGGAUAGGUCCUACGUCAAUUAAAAUGUCAGAUGUUCUUUCUUGGAGAACCUGCCAAAAGUAAUCAACAGGUGUGUGUAUGCCCUUCCUCAGAUUUGCGAGGCAAUAGAACAAAAGAAAAGCAAAACAAUAGAACAAAAAUAAAAUGUUCGAUAUAACCUUAUAUUGGGAAAAAUUGCAAAAGUAUUUGGUAAUCACAAAGCUAACAGUAAAUUGGACGAUGUUCACCUAGGUUUCAUCAGCAGCAGACACAAGGAAUCCUUUAGAUGCUUCCAAAUGUCUUCAAGUCUAAGUGCGUAAUUCUUUGAAAGAACAGAAAAUACAUAUGUAGACUUCACAAAUGGAGUUCAUAUGCUGAGCAUCUGCAAUGAAUUGAAUGCUCCACUAAGGGCUAAUCUAAACUCAAAGGACAAGCUGAAUGCAUUACUUUCAUCGAUCUGAGCAAUAAAAAUUAAACAUUAGACAUGUACAAACUUUUUGGGAGUGCUAGUUUAGCAGAUGGUCAAGAAAACAAAACACGUAUUGCUGGCUUUUUCAGACAGGAAAAAACUGCAGACGUCUCCAUAACCAGGACAUUUGAAAAACAGAAUUCUAGUGUCACCUGCGGGAGGGGGGUAGCGAUUCUAGAAGAGCAGAAGCUACAUGAUGACGCACUACCAGCUACCAGCAACUUUCUGAGGUGUAAGCAGAGGACUUGUUAAUGCUCAUCUGUUCUGUCUUUCCUGCUUUCUGCUUGUUGACAUUUUCCACUAGCUGGCAGCUAAUCUACUAACCCGAAGUUAAGAAGUUCUUCUCUUCGUCUUUAAUUAGCAACAAAGACAUAUGGGACCUGGAUACGUUUGAAGUAUUAUAAGAGCUAAUCAACAAGUACAGAACUGUUUCCAGGAUGAUUUCACUAUGGCUCCUUAAAUAACGGCACAGAAAUUAUAUGGAACUUUUCAACAUAUAUCAACCUAUAUAGUAAAAGCGCGAAUGGAUCUGUUAAGAAUGGUGGUUUUGUGCUGACGUGGCUGUGUUUUAUUGGUUGGAGGAUGGUUGUCACUCAUGCGUUUCUCACGUGCCAAAAUUUUGUUUUAGGGCUUCCCUUGUUUUCUUUCCCCUCAUUGAUCUCCAUCGCCCCCAACCAAGAAGGAAGUUGAGGAGCCGCAUAUGGCAAUGGCAGAGCUUGAAGCAACUCAUGCAACUCUCAUCUUGAAUCCCCGUUCCCAAAAGCCAAUGACAAAUCAGCAGCUUAUUCACCGCCAAGGGCUUCCAAAGAGGACGAUUCACCGCGAAGAAAACAAUCUCCCUAGCUGGAUCAGAGUCACUCAAUCUCUUCUUCUUUGCUCGCUCUGUUCUCUGAUUCUUGUCGAAGACGACUUAAGUCUUCCGUCUGUGCCUCUAUUUUGUAUAUGAUCUGUCUGAUUCGUAAGAUUCUCCUACCAAGUUUUUUUUUUAUCCGGUAAACAAACCCAAUCUUGGCGAAGCCGGAAACAAACUAAAAACAAAUGCUCACCAGAGCUCCUCUCCUCUCCCCUUCCAUUUUUCUUUUCAUUUCUUUGUUCCUUUCUUCCUUUUUGUUGUUUUUUAUUUGGUCCUUUUUUCUCUGUUUUUCCUUCCCGUUUCCCCCCUCCCCCCUUUUCCCUUUCUUCUCUUUCCUUUUUUCAAUUAUAUGAUUCUAACUGAUUUUUUUCCCUUGUUAGAAUUGGUCUGGAUAUGAAGCUACUAAACGCAUGAGACGCAGAAAUCAUCUUAAUUGGUAAGCUCCAAUAUUUCCCUAAAGUUUUACAGUUUCCUUUAUUUAAAAAAGAAAGACAUUUUCCCUGCUAAGAUUUGUUAAUCUUUCGAUUAGUAACAGGGGGAUGAUAAUGUUCUGGAUGGUUUAGCAAGUCAAAAAAGUUUGAUUUUUUUCAUACCCUUUUCUAAAUAAUCAAGAACAUUAUAAUUGUACUUUUUUGGAUUGAAAUAUCAUAUAUUUCAUAGCAUUUUGCCGAAGGAUUAAUAGGGAAUGCCUUUGGAAAUAUGCUUUCAACAAUCAAUCAUAUGCAUGUAGAAAAAUUACUCCACUUCUUUUGUUUGGUUUGAAAAAUGAAGUAGUGUAUUUUUUGGCUAAUACAGGAAGUUUUCUGAAGCAAGACUUAUCACUCGAGAUAUCACAAGUGAAUAGGUGAGAAAGUUGAAGUUUUGAUGUUAGAAAUCACAUCGGGAAUGGUGAUACAAUUGACCAUAAACCAUUUAUGAAAAUUUGUUUUUUUGCUUCCACUGGACUGGAAUGCACUUACUUUUAUACUUUUUUUCCUUCAUUCUCCCAAUUUUUUUGUCUCCUAUGUUUCGGAAUUUUUUGUCUAAAUGUUUUCUUUUAAGCAGAAAAAGUAGAAAUAGACUUUUGUGUGUGCAUAUAGGGAUUUAAAAAGUAAAUACACUUUUAGAGUUAAAUAAAAAAUGAAUGGUGUUUGUUAAAUUGGUUGGUGCAGAAUAUGAUGAAAUUGGGGGGGGGGGGGCAUUGCAAGAGUUAAUUCAGUUUGAAGGCAUUCUCCAGUUAUGAUUCUGAUACUUGUGUAUUUGCCAUACUGCCUAUCUUUACUGCCUUGAAAUUUAGCGGGGUUCUAUCUAUCUCUAUUGAUAGCAGUUACUGUUUCUCAACAGUUGAAAUGUCUUACAUUUAGCGGUUAGAGCAGCUGAUGUUCUAUGCUCAAAUUUUCCAGCUCUUGUUUAGUUGUUGCUUGGGAUUUUCAAAAAAACUUAAAUUGUCAAUUUUCUUGGUUUCUUUUUCAUGUCUCUGCCAUUGUCAAUUUGCAAUGGAAUUGAACUUAUUUCAUCUUUUGAUGACUUUAGUUUGAAGUUUUUAAUUAUAGUUUUGAAUAAGUUUCAACUAAUUGUGGGAAAGAAAGUUAAAGUGGCAAAAUUUGUUAGAUUGGUUGGUAGAUGAACACUUUGGCCACAAAUGUUGUUAUGAAAGGUGUAUGUUUACCAAAAACCUAUUACUUAGAAGAAAAAUAUCCCUAGAUCUCUUUUCCUUCUUUGACCAUAUAGUUUUGGAUUCAUGGGUUGUUCAAAUUUAGCACAAUGUCUUUGGCUAAAAACUUGGUGAUUAUUUUUGUGUAACAUUUUAUAGCUUUCUUUUUUUCUAUUUGUUUCCAUUUUGCAUAUGAACAAUUUAUUUUUGCUUCUAUUUAUUGUUGUUAACUUUUUGGGUUCAAUUUUAUAGGGGUAAUGCUUCGUUUAGUACCAAUCAGUCAAGCCCAAGCUUUGGCCUUUUAGCAUAGUUCAGCUUUAGACAUGUAAGCUGUUUACACUUUAUUUAGAAAAAUAUCUUAGUCAAAUAGAUGUGCUUGUAUACUAAUAAUUAGUAGAUGUCUCUGUUGAUUAUGUUUCUGUUGAUUAUGAGAAAAUGACUAAGUUUCUGUUAAUUAUGUUUUCUGCUAUUUAACUUGUGAACCUCUGUUAAUUAUCUUUUCUGCUAUUUAACUUGCGAACCAUUUCUCUGUGUCCUUAUUUGGCAUUAAAUUAGAUGGAUACCGGGCUCUUCAUGAUGGAAUUAGGUAUUAAAAUUAUCGGCAUAUAAUAAAGCAAAUAAUGGCCUUCUACUACUUUUAAGGUGCUGAUUCUAACCUUUUUUCUUUCACCUUUCGUUUUAAUAUAACCAUCUCUAUGAAUGGAAUUUUUUUUUGCAACAGUGUCUGUAUUGUGUAUAUAAUAAUGUAAUGGAAAAUUGUUCAUUUGUAGUUAUUGCAUGUUUUAUAUUGUAAUUGAAGAUUGUUCGUUUAUUCUUUGGCUACACUGGUGCAAUAUGCCCCGACCUAUGAAUUGUACAAAAUCCUUUGCUCCAUACUUUUGCCUCCAGGGAUAAUUAUAUGGAAAAAACUUGUCUGGCAUAUAGGUAAUUGCAUAGAUAGGCGCUAAUGUUGAUGUUCCUGUAAGUGAAAAAAGUUAGAUUAAAAUGGAAGUGACAAUGAUAAAAGAAAAAAAUCUAUGAUAUAUUUUUGGAGAAUAUGGUAAUUGUUACUAAUAUUUAACUGUAUGAAGUGGAUUUUUGCAGUACCACUCGAAUGCUUCUGCCAUUUGAUUAACAAAACUACGUGUUUAUUUAUGUGGGAAGCAGAAUCGGCCACCCUUGAAGCUUUAUCAAGAUCAGAGCCUUGAAGCAUAUGACCCUGGAUAUUAGAUUUUGCACUAACUGUAGCUAUUUGAUCUUUGCAUUACCUGCUGUCUAUGUAUAUCAGCUCUUCAUGCAUUAUAUCUCACAUGGCUUGUGUUAUCAUAAUAUUUUUGUUUGGUUUAAAAUCUUGUGUAACUGGAUGAGUUAUUUUGUGCCAAGAGUUUGACCAUCCCUUUUGCUACCGAUGUAUUGAGAGAUUAGAAUUAUGGCCUAUACUAAUAAUCCUCCUCCUUUUUUGGUCAAAUGCAAUUUAUCCCACUGAGGUUAAUGUGUAAGCACAGUUUCUUUUUAUUGGAUUUUGUUGAAGUUACAGGCUAAUGAAAACCUUUUUAGUUAUUGUACUACAAAGUAAUGUGUUUUUAGUCUUUGGGUUAUUUUGAAGUGUAUGAUUCUAAUAACAAGGAAAAGGCUUGAUGCAAUACUACACUGCAUUUCUUUUUUUCCUUUUUCUUAUAUUCCUUUUUGAGCUGGAGCAGCUUUGACAUGUAAUGAGAACCUCUAGAAUGCAGUCUACUGGUCGCAAGUUUCAUAAAUGUAGCCUUUUACAUUGUCUCAUGUACUUGUCUUUCCUUUUACGAGAUUCUAGCUGUUGACAUGCAUCAAAUGAUCAAGGGCUGAAUUGCAUUGAGGCCAGUGAAACUUCCUUUUUUUUUUUUUUUUUUGUGUUAAGUAGUUGACCAUCCCCUAUGCUAUUGAUGUAUUGAGAAGAUACACCUGCAUUAGUAAUCCUCCUCCGUUUUUAGUCAAAUGCAGUUUAUCUCACUAUGGUUGAUAUGUAAACACAAUUUCUUUUCCUUUUCGUAGAUUUCUUGAAGUUACAAGCUAAUGAAGCUAUUUUGGUUAUUGUACUACAAAAUAAUGGGUUUUUUUUUUUUGCGGUCUUUGGGUUAAUUUGAUGCAAUUGCGAAAAUAGUGGAUUGGUUGUAUCAGAGUCUAAAAAUAAGGCCAAGCCUUGCUGCAAUACUACGCUGCUCUCGUUUUUUUUUUUUUUUUUUAGCUGGAAAGUCACAGAUUUUGAUGUACAUAAAAAAUAUAAGGCAGUAUUACAUAGUGAUAUAUUAUUUUCAAACUAAUGACAUUGCCAUUGUUGUCCAAUUAGUCAGCAUAACAAAAAUGACUGUCAUUUAGCAACCAGACUGAAAUUGUGUCUCUCUUCAUUGUUUAAUAAAAUUACAAAAAAUAAUCACAAAGAUUUGUGUGCACCUUCAUGUAAUUCUUUAUAUUGAAUAUCCCAAUUUGAAUAAUUGAAUAUUUCUGGGCAAACUUGAAAAUUACACCGCGCAUCGCGCGGUGUUCCCCUCCUAGUAAGUAGAAUAAGCGCCGAAGAGCUCUUAUGACCUAGAUGGUUUUCGUCGUCCUCUCACGUGCGUUGUGUGUGGUUCCUGACGACGUCGUUUUGUGUUGUUCGACUUUCAACUUGAAUUUCUGAAUUUGUUGUUGUCUUUCGCUCGUUUCUUUUCGUCCGGCAGGGUUUAGCUUCGUUGUCUUCUUCCAUGACGUUCGCCACUGUUGUAUAUCAGAAAGGCUGUUUGCCCUUGGUUGCUCCCAUUUAACUAAUCAGCUAGCCUUCGUCCUCAUCUAAUAACGGCAAUAAAUAAUUUCUGUACUACUUUUGCUUUUACUCUUCAGCCUUUUUUUCAGCUUUUCAGCCGGAGCAUUAAUGGGUUCGAGCUUUCCCAGCCUUUCCCAGCCUUCGUCUACAUGUACUUGCUCUCUAUGGUUUUUCUUAAAUUUCCGCCGCUUGCCCCUCUCUUUCUUCCCCUUCUCCUUUGCCUCACCUUCAUCCUCAGAAGCUCCGCCGCCUCUACUUCGUUUCCUCCUCUCCAAAGCAUUCGAUCUCUCAUUUCUUCUUCAUUCUUUUGCAUUUUUUCCCAUUCUCCUGGUUUUGUGUUAAAACCUUCAUUGCAUUGAAUUUUUUUUCAUUUUUUUUGGGUUGCAGCUGGAAUGAUUUUUAAUUUCUGGACUCUUAUGCUCCAUCUAAGAUAGAGUUGGUAGCGCAGAAUCAUCUUUCCUCGCUGGCUCUGUUUUUGCAGGUAAGAAUGUGAGAACCCGUAAAUUUUUCUUAUUUAUUUUAUUUUCCGGCGUGCAUUUUUCUUACCUUAUUUUAUUAUAGCAAUUUUUCAGAGAUUUUUAUAAGUGAAUAUAGUUUUAAAUCAUUUUUCUAGUAUAAGUUAGUUCAUGAGAAAUUAGGAGUGUAUAUUGGACGUGGGACCCGCUAGUACGCUAAAUGCGAUAAAUUUCUGGCAAUUAAUUAAAGUUUGGUAUUGAUGGGUAUUAUUUUACAAGGUGUUAGGAGACAAUUAGAGAUUAGCUAGAUAGCUUAACUAUUGGAAGAUAAGAGGAUUAGAUCAAACCCUUAAAGUGCCACGUGUCGCUUUCCUAUUCAAAGUUGGACUUGCCUAACUUUCUUACCUUUACUAAAACAUCAAUUUUGAUCAAGCUUUCUCCAUUUUAUUUCCUCCCUUGGCUGAACCUUUGAGAGAAGAAAGGAAAGAAGACUUCAUCUUGUAACUUCAAAUUCUGGUCCCAAUCUUGAGUUUCAACUGAUUAAUUUUCAAAUUCCUCCAUAAAAGUGACUUGUUAAGGAAGCUUGAAGGUAUUAGUGAAGUUGUUUUAGAGGAGGAAACCCUAAGCUACUACCUUUCUUGAGGUGUCAAGUUAUUUUGCCUGGAAACUCACUCUUUGUUCCUUAUAAUGGUAAAUUAGUAACUUGUGGUGGCUAAAUAGGUUGUUUUAUGGAAGAUUUCAUGGAAUAAAGUGGAGUUAGAUAAAUUUCUGAUUUUUUUGUGGAUUUUUCUGUUUUCAUAUGAUGGGUAUGAUUGGUCUUGGAUUGAUAGUUCUAAAUUGUGUUAAAUAGAGCCUUUGUGCGUUAAUUGAGGUUAGUUGCGAAAAAUUUCAGUUUUGUGCAGAAAUUUCAGGUUUAGGGUUUCAAAUCUGCCCUAUUUUACACUGCAUGUUCGUCCUUGAAGGAGGCCGAAUCAGCCCUUGCCAAAAACAUGAAAGUUGUUGGUAAUUGAGUCAGCUAGCUACCUAUAAAAUUUGAGCUCAAUCGGAGCACUGUAACAUAUGAAAUAACCAAAAUACCCUUGACUGCCCAUAAGCCUUGUUUCACGGACAGUUUUUUGUCCUCACUAAAAUUUCGAUUUUUGAUCAUGAAAAUGCAUGAUUUGGUUUUGGAGGUCUUCAUAGGAAAUGUAGGUAUAUGUCUUGGUUUCGAAACGCCAUAAGAUUCGUUUCAAUCCGAUAUGUGUAGCUUCAGUUAUGGUUAUUGUGCCGAAAGGUGUGUUUUAUAGUCUAUGAUUUGUAUGUGGUUGAUUUGAGAUGAAUUGGUGUUGAAUGUAGGAUGAAAAAAUAAGAAAAUGUAGGGGACAUACUGUCCAAAUUUUGGGAAUGUGGGAUUUCUUCGAGUUUGGUUUGGUUUGGGAUAUAUAUAAGAAAGGCUUUUGGGGUUGUUCGAACCCUAGGUCUUCAUGUUACCGCCCUAGGUUUUCAUAUUAUCUUUUCGUUCCCAAAAUCAUGUUUUGCACCAUUUCAUUAGUAAUUAUUUGGCGAGGCAUACGACUAGUAGUCGAGUCUCAUUUAUGCAUUCCGUUUACUCGAUUUUGGAUGUGAAACAUUCAAUUAUUUUACUUUGGUUAUUUUAGGGUUUCUUGGCGAUUAAAGCCACUCUGGCGUGAAAACUUUUGAAAUAUCUGUACUUCAACCAGUGAGUGUACCACUCCCUUGAAUUAUUGCUAAAAUGGUUAUCUGUACUUACAAAUUACUAUUUGAACGUCUUUAUCGACUGUUUAUUUUGUACGAGACGAGUGUGUACCUUAUCAUACUCGUUCUCUAGCCUGUGUGGCUUGUUUCCUGUAUAUACUUGAAUCUGUUACCUGCGCCUAUUAUAAUGUCGUUUGGAAGUGUAUCCAACGACCUUCCUGUUACAUCAAAACUCAAUCUCAUGGGGAGUUAAUUGAAUCGAGCCAGAAGGGCUUCGUCAAGAAAAUUGACAAUCCAUGGGUGCCUGUUCCUAGGGAAUCUAUGGGUAUUGGAGACUCUGUAUUUUCGGUAUACUCGAGUAUAUUACCAUUCCUGUUUCUGUUUGGCGUUUGGGCCCGGUAAGGAGUAUGUUUGGUGAACGGGAUUUUGGUAUUAAAGUGAUAUUCUACUGGAUUGGUUCCUUUAUUUGAACGUUGACGGAGGGUCAACAAGGCUGGAUCAUGUAUUGCAACGGGGAUUUGGCUUUUGAGAACCACCUGUAUCCUUUACAUUGUGGUGUUCAUUCAUUUCUCGUAUUUGAUGUGAAUAUGUGCCUUAAAAGUGAUUUUUCAUGAGUUCUACUAUUUCUACUGUUUAUACUUUUGGUACCUCAUUGAGCUUUUAGCUCACCCCGUUCCGUUAUCCUUGUUUUCCUUACAAGGAACCAUCUUUUGGAACUUCGAUGUUUUGAAGAAUCAGUGGAACUAGUUAGAAAUUCUUUUGUUCUUUUGGUAUAGCUCCUCGACAAUUUGAAAACCCUAAAUGUAUCUUAAUACAAUGUUCCUUUUGGUUUGUAACCUUACUAAUAUGCAUAUAUUAAAGUGUUUCCUUGGAUAUGUGGCAUAUGUAUUUGGGAAUGUACAUUCUCUCAUGUUAAACAAAGUUUACUUGAACCGGGUUGGAUUAUGACGUGACAGCGGCACUUCCAUUACGUUUUCAUUUUUCGUGGGAACGUUGUACCAAAGAUUUAUUGUAUCUUUUAGUUCGACUCAAUUGGGAUGUGAAUGUCUAUCUUCUCGAAGUUCUUUUGAGCGUUGGGUAAGGUUUACGUUUGUUUCGGAUCCGUAGUUCCGGCGAGAGUUGAGCUGGCGGUCCGCCAAACCCUUUGGUUCACCUUAGGGUGAGGUGGGGCUGUCACAGGUGGUAUCAGAGCCGCUUCACGUGGUCUCUGCGUGGAGUGAGUUUGGGCCAAAUGGUGUUAUGAUCCUGCUUUCAUGAAUGUGUCUAAGUGCUCGUAUGAGCAUAAGUUAUGAAGCGAGCAUGUUAUAUGUGUAAAAAUCUUUAUCAUGGAACUUGAGGAAGAUAGAUACGUAUGUCGGGUAUGAAUCUAUAAUAUGGAUGAUUUACUCUUAGGACCGGCCGGCUCAAGUUGUGAAUUAUUUUAUUGUGGAUUCUUGUAUUUGAGUAUCAAGUAGUGGAGAACGCGAGAAUAAGGGUCUGUAUCUUGAUUGAACUUGAGGUAUGUCUGGAUUUCAAAGUCUAAGGUACGGAAGAUUUUACAUUGGACCUAGUAAUUAGAUUGGUUGAGGGGGUUUGAUAUGAAAGUGUUAUCAUGGACUACUCUUGUACUAGUCUGGCUCGGGUUUUCUAGAGGGUGGCUAGAUUGUAAGGGAAUUCGCACCUAAGACUUGUUCCCUUUUGCUAUGACCGUAAGGACUUGAUAAUUGUUUACGUGACUUUGAGUUAGUCUAGUUACAACCACAGAGGUUUUUUCUACCCCUAUUGUGAGAUUCGAUACCCGUAGUUUGGCUCUCGAUAAACUACCCUUGCCUAUACUUUCUUGAUAUUUAUCCCUUGAUGUCAAAGUAUGGACCUGACUUGAUUAUUAUUGUGUCGAGGUCGAGAGUUUGAAAUUAGGUAUGGAAAUAUGAGAGAAAGGAUUUAGCCUCUAUACCUGUAUGCUUCUAAGUUUAAUUUUUUGUGGUUAGAUUGGGAGUGAGGGAACUUAACAGUUAUAUGGUUACAGUCCCAAGUGUACUUGGUUACUUAUUUUGAUUUUCUAAUUUGCUUGGCAGGCUAUCCCUUGAGUUCGAGCGAAUCGGUAAAAUGGCACAUUUGGCUGAUAUGUAUAAGGAGAUAGAGAUUCUUCGAAAGGAAGUAGAGUUCCAAAAGAGAUUAGCUGAGCACUGGGAAGGGCAAUGGAAACAGGGGCUCCGUUUGGAUUGGCUGUUUUUUGGAUUGUUUUUCAAAAACACCACUGUAGCAUUUCGAAUUUGAAAAACAAGUCCGUUUGGAUUAGUUGUUUUUUGGGUUGUUUUUCAAAAACUAUAUGAAAAACUUUCAUUGUAGAUUUUUUUGGAUUUUUUUUAGAGGUAUUUUUGAAACAUAUUUUUGAGUAUAAAUAUACAUUUAUGCAUUUAUGAUACAUUUAUAUUUACAAAUGUAUAAAUGUAUAUUAUUAUAAAUGUAUAAAUUAUAAAUGAAUAUUAUAUAAAUGUAUAAAUUAUAAAUUAUAAUUUUUAUAUUUUUAUAUAAAUAUACAUUUAUGCAUUUAUAAUACAUUUAUAGAUAUUUAUAAAUAAAUAUAUUUAUAUAUUCAUAUAAAAAUAUAUAAAUGUAUUAUAUUAUAUAUAAUACAUAAUAUAAAUAUAUUUAUAAAUGUAUAAGUGUAUAUUAUUAUAAAUGUAUAAAUUAUAAAUGAAUAUUAUAAAUAUAUUAUAAAUUAUAAAUGAAUAUUAUAAAUAUAUUAUAAAUUACAAGUGUAUAUUAAUAUAAAUGUAUAAAUUAUAAAUGUAUAAAUUAAUAUAUUAUAAAUAUAUAUUAAUAUUAUGUAGAAAUGUAUUUAUAUAAAUAAUAUAAAUGUAUAUAUGUAUUAAUAUUAUAUAUAAAUGUAAAAUUAAUAUUAUGUAUAUUAAUAUAAAUGUAUAAAUGUAUUAUAUUAUAUAUAAUAAAUAAUAUAAAUGUAUAUUUAAAUGUAUAAGUGUAUAUUAUUAAAAAUUUAUAAAUUAUAAAUGAAUAUUAUAUAAAUGUAUAAAUUAAUAUAUUAUAAAUAUGUAUUAAUAUUAUGUAGAAAUGUAUUAACAUAAUUUAUAUAAAUGUAUACAUGUAUUAAUAUUAUGUAUAAAUGUAAAAUUAAUAUUAUGUAUAGUAAUAUAAAUGUAUAAAUGUAUUAUAUUAUAUAUAAUACAUAAUAUAAAUGUAUAUUAUAAAUAUACAUAAAUAUUUUUAUAUUAUGUAUAAAUGUACAUUUAUAUAAAUGCAUUAAUAUAAUAUAUAUUAUAUUAUAUAUAAUUUAUAUAACAUAUAAUAUUUAUGUAAAUAUAUUAUAAAUAUAUAAAAAUAUAUUUUAAAUAAAAUAAAAUAUUUAUAAUAUGUAUGUAUAAAUAUAUAAUAUUAGAAAUGUAUAAUAUAUAUGAUAUACAUUAAUAUUAAUAUAAUUUAUAUAUAAUAUACAUAAUUGAAAUAUACAUAUUAAUAUAUAUUAUAAAACAAAAUUGCAUAAAUAUAUUUAUAAAUUUAUAUAUAAAUAAAUGUAUUUAUAUAAAUAUAUAAUAUUUAUUUCAAUUGAUAUAAUAUAUAUAAUAUUAUACAUAAUUAAAAUAAAUAUAUUUAUAUUAAUAUAAUAUAUAUAUAAUAUACAUAAUUGAAAUAUAAAUAUUAAAAUACAUAAUUGAAAUAUACAUAUUAAAAUAUAUAAUUAAAAUAUACAUAUUAAAAUAUACAAAUUGAAAUAUGCUUAUUAAAAUAUACAAUUUAAAUAUACAUAAUUGAAAUAUAUUUGGAGUUAUUUUUGAUAUAUUGUUUGGAUAUGGUGUUUUUGAAAUUGUUUUUGAAAUACACAUUUACUGUAGCAUUUGGAAUGUGAAAAACAGUUUUUCAAAAACAAGUGCAAAAAUACUCAAUCCAAACGGACGCUAGGAGUAUUCGGAAAAAAUUGAGUUACUGUACAAGAACAUAGAGCUGAAAAAGAAAUACGAAGGAAUUCUGGAAGAGAUACGAAGUAAGUUUGGGCUAGUGCCUUCAUCUAGUCAAAUGGCCUCUCAGGACAUUCCUAAUAAUAAAGAUGAAGGAGAUAAAGGAAGUGCUCACAAUAACAAAGGGAAACGCAAAGAGAUGGAUGGAAAAGGAGUUGCUAUGAAGGAUAAGGGGAGGAAGAGGAAAAAGAAUGGACACUUUAAGAAGAAAUGUGUGGCUGCUAAGUGUGAAACGUAUAACAAAAGUCAUACAUGAAUAUGUUAUGUGAAAAUUGGUGCAUGCUUUAGAUGCGGCCAACUGGGACACCAAAUGAGGAACUACCCAGAACAAAUGAAUUUUGGGAUGGCGAAUCUGCUGUAAUAGUUAAAAUCGGCAAGUAGUGAUGUGUUAGCUGAAAUAAUUGUAUUUAUGGACCUAUGUAUAUGCAACCUCUAUAUAGUGAGUAUGUUUUGGAUAAAAGUAGUAGAUCUAGUACUUGAUAUUUUGAUGACUAAUAUUAAAUAUUGGUGAUUUGACAGUAUUGAAUCCUGAUUCAUAAAUCUUUUAUUAUCUUUUAGUCUCGAUGUUAAGUGAAAUUUGCGUCUGUGGUUCGGAAGGGGGAAACUUUUGAUGUCUUCACUGAUUUUCUUAGCAUGGCGUUUUAGUCAUAGUAUUAUUGCGAUUUCUCUCUAGAUAGAUUGUGAUACGAGAAGAAUUUCGAGGACGAAAUUCUUUUAAGGGGGAGAGGGUGUGAGGACCCGUAAAUUUUUCUUAUUUAUUUUAUUUUCCGGCGUGCAUUUUUCUUACUUUAUUUUAUUAUCAUAAUUUUCCAGAGAUUUUUAUAAGUGAGUAUAGUUUUUAAAUCAUUUUUCUAGUAUAAGUUAAUUCAUGAGAAAUUAGGAGUGUAUAUUGGACGUGGGACUCGCUAGUGCGCUAAGUGCGAUAAAUUUUUGACAAUUAAUUGAAGUUUGGUAUUGAUGUGUAUUAUUUUACAAGGUAUUAGGAGACAAUUAGAGAUUAACUAGAUAGUUUAACCAUUGGAAGAUAAGAGAAUUAGAUCAAACCCUUAAAGUGCCAUGUGUCACGUUCCUAUUCAAAGUUGGACUUGCCUAACUUUCUUACUUUUACUAAAACAUCAAUUUUGAUCAAGCUUUCUCCAUUUUAUUUCCUCCCUUGGCCGAACCUUUGAGAGAAGAAAGGAAAGAAGACUUUAUCUUGUAACUUCAAAUUCUUGUCCCAAUAUUGAGCUUCAACCGAUUAAUUUGUAAAUUCCUCCAUAAAAGUGACUUGCUAAGGAAGUUUGAAGGUAUUGGCAAGUUGUUUUGGAGGAGGAAACCCUAAGCUACUACCUUUCUUGAGGUGUCAAGGUAUUUUGCUUGAAAACUCACUCUUUGUUCCUAAUAAUGGUAAAUUAGUGACUUGUGGUGGCUAAAUAGGUUGUUUUAUGGAAGAUUUUAUGGAUUAAAGUGAAGUUAGAUAAAUUUCUGAUUUUUUUGGAGAUUUUAUGUUUUCAUAUGAUGGGUAUGAUUGGCCUUGUAUUGAUAGCUCUAAAUUGUGUUAAAUGGAACUUUUGUGCGUUAAUUGCGGUUAGUUGCGGAAAAUUUCAAUUUUGUGUGGAAAUUUCAGGUUUAAGGUUUCAAAUCUGCCCUGUUUUUCACUGCAUGUUUAUCCUUGAAGGAGGCCGAAUCAGCCCUUGCCAAAAACAUAAAAGUUGUUGGUAAUUGAGUCAGCUAGCUACCUAUAAAAUUUGAGCUCAAUCGGAGCAUUGUAGCAUAUGAAAUAACAAAAAUACCCUUGACUGCCCAUAAGUCUUGUUUCAUAGACAGUUUUCUAUCCUCACUAAAAUUUCGAUUUUUGGCCAUGAAAAUGCAUGAUUUGGUUUUGGAGGUCUUCAUAAGAAAUGUAGGUAUAUGUCUUGGUUUCGAAACGCCAUAAGAUUCGUUUCAAUCCGAUAUGUGUAACUUCAGUUAUGGUUAUUGUGCCGAAAAGUGUGUUUUAUAGUCUAUGAUUUGUAUAUGGUUCAUUUGAGAUGAAUUGGUGUUGAUUGUAAGAUGGAAAAGUAAGGAAAUGUAGGGGACAUGCUGUCCAAAUUUUGGGAAUGUGGGAUUUCUUCGAGUUUGGUUUGGUUUGGGAUAUAUAUAAGAAAGGCUUUUGGGGUUGUUCGAGCCCUAGGUCUUCAUGUUACCGCCCUAGAUCUUCAUGUUACCUUUUCGUUUCCAAAAUCAUGUUUUGCACCCUUUCAUUAGUAAUUAUUUGGCGAGGCAUACGACUAGUAGUCGAAUCUUACUUAGACAUUCCGUUUACUCGAUUUUGGAUGUGGAACCUUUAAUUGUUUUACUUUGGUUAUUUUAGAGUUUCUUGGCGAUUAAAACCACUCUGGCGUGAAAACUUUUGAAGUAUAUGUACUUGAAUCAGUGAGUGUACCACUCCCUUGAAUUAUUGCUAAAAUGGUUAUCUGUACUUGCAAAUUGCUAUUUAAACGUCUUUAUCGACUGUUUAUUUUGUACGAGAUGAGUGUGUACUUUAUCACACUCGUUCUCUGGCCUGUGUGGCUUGUUUCCUGUAUAUACUGGAAUAUGUUACCUGCGCCUGUUAUAAUGUAGUUUGGAAGUGUAUCCAACGACCUUCCUAUUACAUCUGAGUUCAAUCUCAUGGGGAGUUAAUUGAAUCGAGCCAGAAGGGCUUGGUCGAGAAAAUUGACAAUCCAUGUGUACCUGUUCCUAGGAAAUCUAUGGGUAUUGGAGAUUCUAAAUUUUCGGUAUACUCGAGUAUUACCAUUCCUGUUCCUGUUUGGCGUACUGGCGCAGUAAGAGGUAUGUUUGGUGAUCGAGAUUUUGGCAUUAAAGUGGUGUUCUAUUGGACUGGUUCCUUUAUUUGAACGUUGACGGAGGGUCAACGAGGUUGGAUCAAGUAUUGCAACGGAGAUUUGGCUCCUGAGAACUACCUGUAUCCUUUACAUUGUGGUGUUCAUUCAUUUCUCAUAUUUGAUGUGAAUAUGUGCCUUAAAAGUGAUUUCUCAUGAGUUCUACUAUUUCUACUGUUUAUACUUUUGAUACCUCAUUGAGUUUUUAGCUCACCCCGUCCCGUUAUUCUUGUUUUCCUUACAGGGAACCAUCUUUUGGAACUUCGAUAUUUUGAAAAAUGAGUGGAGCUAGUUAGAAAUUCUUUUGUUCUUUUGGUAUAACUCCUCGACAAUUUGAAAACCCUAAAUGUAUCUUAAUACAAUGUUUCUUUUGGUUUGUAACCUUACUAAUAUGUAUAUAUUAAAGUGUUUCCUUGGUUAUGUGGCAUAUGUAUUUGGGAAUGUACAUUUUCUCAUGUUAAACAAAGUUUACUUGAACCGGGUUGGAUUAUGACGUGACAGCGGCACUUCCAUUACGUUUUCAUUUUUUGUGAGAACGUUGUACCAAAGAUUUAUUGUAUCUUUUAGUUCGACUCAAUUGGGAUUUGAAUAUCUAUCUUCUCGAAGUUCUUUUGAGCGUUGGGUAAGGUUUACGUUUGGUUCGGAUCCGUAGUUCCGGCAAGAGUUGGGCAGGCGAUCCGCCGAACCCUUUAGUUCGACUUAGAGUGAGGUGGGACUGUCACAGAGAAUCACGGCCAUUAGAUUCGCAUUCUUGAACUCCGACAACUGGUUGCUGAACCCACUAUGAGGUGCGUACCAGAGGAACUUUUCUCCCCUAAAUUCUUCUGAACUUGUGCAUUGUGGAGGAACUGGGACUUGUUCGGAAUUACCUGAAAUUGAAAGCACGGAUGGGGGAAGAAGGCGCUUGUACGUAAUGAAAAGAAGAAGAGAGCAACAAAGAAGGACAAAAAGUGCGAAGGAUUUUGAUUUGGGAUGCUGAUUUUGAUUCUCUCUUUUUGCUUCUGAUGGGAUUCAGCGGUUCCAUAUUUCGUCUUAGGAAGAAUCAAAAGGUUUUGGAUUGGUCGUUAGUUAGCUGUUCAUAAAUUCACAUAAGUCGCAAUGAAGUAGUACGACAUUGGAUCAAGAAAAUUGGAUCAGAAAAGAACUGUCAAGUUCUAAAAUUAUACUAUAAUUUUGGUUCCAUUGUCCUUUUUAAGGUACUACCUUCUUUGUUCUGAUGUUUUUUCCCAUUUUUUCUAUUUCCCUUGUUCGAGCUUUGUGGAUUAGCCCAUAUUUUAAAAGCGACAAGUCAAGAUUGAAUCCAUGUUGCGAGCUGCUGAGUUGCGGCACAUUAAAUUGAACACGGUUGCAUAUAAUUCUGCGAUUGGAAGUUACAUGAAUUUUGGGGACUUUGAAAAAGCAAUAAUGGUGUAUGGGUCGAUGAGGAAACACAAUGUUAAACCCGAUUCUGUCACUUACAAUGUGUUGAUAAGUGGUUGCUGUAAGAUGUCAAAGUUCUCUAAUGCACUUGAAUUUCUCAAUGAAAUGUUGGACCUCAAAGUUCCAUUAUCACAAGAGGUGUAUUCAUCUGCUAUAUGUGCCUAUAGUAAACAGGCAAGGACUAUCGAUUUGUGACUACUGUCCCUGUAAUUAGAUUCUUCCAUACUUAAAUCUCUCUCUCUCUCUCAGGGUCAACUUGCUGGAGCAGAAUCAAUGUUUUCCAUGAUGAAGAUGGCUGGUUUUCAUCCUGAUGUUGUCACAUAUACUGCUAUGCUACAUGCAUAUAGUGUUGCUGGUAAAAUCCUAUGUCGGACUAUUUCAUAUAUGCUGGCUUAAAAUUACUGAUAUUAAGAAGCUCAAACUGAAUGUCUUGUGGAAAUUCCGUAUGCAGAUGACUGGGAGAAAGCUUUUGCAAUAUUUCAAGAAAUGGAAUUGCCUGGUGUCCAGCAAUUCAAGGAGUGGUUUUGUAAAUGAAGCAAAGCUCCUCCCGGAACUGAGCCCAAUAAAAUUCUUUCCUUUGUUGGAAUGCAUAUGGAUGUUGUUACUGCCAACCCUUCUGACUGGGUAACAGAUUUUGAACUUUUAGCAUUUUUGAGUAAUUUAUUUGUAAUCUGAUUAUACAUUUUGGCAUUUUUAUUACAUUCUGAUGAUUGGUUUUGUCUUGUGUUUGACUGGAACUGAUCGUAAAUUUGUUUUGUGUUGUGAGUUUGCCAGAAUGAGGACAAAAGAAAAUGGUAUAUGUUAAUUGGGUUUUCUUACUUUAAGUUUGCAACUCUCUCUCUAUUCUGAAAAAAAGAUUGUUUUAAUUGAUGAUGAAAGGGGUUUCUUUGAUUGGAAGUUUAAAUUUGAUAGUGCAAGGUUUAAAGUUGGAGACUUUUUGUGUUUUUAUACACUGGCAAUAUUUUUCUGAAUCGUUUCAUUGUUAUUAUGGUUAGAUCUCGCUGUUGCAUGUACAAUGCUACAAACAUAUCCAUUUUCCCCAGGAAUUUGAACCUCGUAUGGAAAUUGUAGUUAUGCAAUGACAAGCCGUGGAACUUAGUUAAUUUUUCGUAGAUAUUGAAUGCAUGCAAGUUUUAUUUUACGGUAGCUGCUGAUUUGUAGUCUAAGGAUGUUCACUAUAAGAAAAUUAAAUCUUGAGUGCUAAAUUGGUACCUUAAUGAAAAUUUUUGGCUCUCUAUAUUGUUUUAUGAGGCCCGUGCUAUGAUUUGGGGGAAUGAGUUCAUUAGCCUUACUAACUAAUGGGUAUCUCAUUCUGUUGUUGCAAAUAUUGUAUUCCAUCGAAACAAAAUUACGUCAGCUCGUAACUUAUAUUUAAAGCUAUUUAAAGCUAUUUAACCAGCUAUUUCUUAAUUCGAGGGCAUGAUUAUGGAAUUUAGCUAGAACCUGUCAUUGUAAUUAUCUUUUUCCAAGGUUUCAAGGAAGUAAAUAGAGGGGUUGGAAACAAACUAAGUUUGAGUUCUGCUCUUUGACCUGGGUAUAAAUUUUUGUCUCCUCAGUAUUCGAGUGUUUUGUAUUUAGAGUCUAAGACAAUAUCUAUGCCUCAGAAUUUUGAUCCUUUUUCGCUGAGCAUUGAUGGGGAUAAACUACGGGGACGCGGAACUACUGAUUGCCUUGGGCAUGUCGCUCUUGUAGCUGAACUUAUGACGAAACUGGGAGAGACAAAGCCACAGCUGAAGUCCUCUGUUGUUGCUGUUUUUAUAGCCAGUGAAGAGAAUUCAUCUAUUCCUGGGGUUGGUGUGGAUGCAUUGGUUAAGGAUGGAUUGCUCGAUAAGUUGAAACAGGGGCCUUUGUAAGGACAUAAAAGUAGUAUUUAAGUAUGAGAAUCUUUUAUUGGUUAAUUGGUUAUGUUGAAAUUGUUUGGCAUUUGGUUAAUGGUUUAUGUGUUUGAAAACAGAUUUUGGAUAGAUACAGCGGAUAAACAGCCUUGCAUUGGGACAGGUGGCAUGAUACCAUGGAAACUCCAUGUUACCGGAAAGCUUUUCCACAGUGGUUUGCCCCAUAAGCUGCUUUUUGGCUUUCUGUUGUCUCAUAUCAGCUGCACUAAUUCUUUGUGUAAAACUCACAUAUGCAGGAAAGAGAUACUGUCACUUUCUUAGUUGUGUCACCAUGCAGGCAGUUCAUAUUAUGACAAAGAUCAAGUAAUUAAAGUAACCAUUUUUCUGGAAUGAUGAAACUAAACUAAAAGAGAGGCAUCAAAAAAAAAUUUUAACUUUGCAAGCACAAAAAAUACAUUUAAUAUUAUUUCCUCUUGAAUUAAAUUAUUUAUGCAGAAACAACUGCAUUUGAAGUAUUCUUAGUUCACGGAUAAAUCCUUGUUAGUGAUCACAGUGCACCAAAAAUAAAUGGGAUAGGGUUGGCUGUAGAUGAAUUAAUGUUACGAUAAUUUAGCUGGACAAUAACUUGGAGGGAUUGAAGAGGAAUACUGCUGCAAGUUCAUGCACAUUAAGAAUGCUCCAUUACUGGGAGGAACCUGUGAAUGUGUUCCAUUUAGUAGUUUUCUUUUUCUGUAGGCUAUUAAUCCCUUGGAGCUAGCAAUGGAAGCACUCAAAGAGAUCCAAUUACGGUUCUAUAAAGAUUUCCCUCCUCAUCCUAAGGAACAAGUUUAUGGAUUUGCAACACCAUCAACAAUGAAACCAACUCAAUGGUCUUGUAAGUCUUGAUCACAUUGUGGAAGAACUCGGACAAGUGUGAUAUUUGACUUGCCAUAAGCGGCCAAUCCAAUUCCAUUUUUCUGAAUAACCAUUUUAUAUUGCAGAUCCAGGAGGUGGAAUUAACCAAAUUCCAGCUGAAUGUACAGUUUCAGGGGAUGUUAGGUACAUAUUUCUUUAUAUAUUCUUGUUUAGGAUCUUGAACUUUUAAACCCUUCUAACAAUGCCUCUUUACUUUUGCAGGUUGACUCCAUUUUACAGGUGGAAAAUUUUUCCUUUUUUCUCCUUAGUAAAUUGUGGAUGAUUUAAUUUAUCAGAUUAUGAUAUUUCACAAUUAAUUCCUUUGCCCUCUUCAUUUUUAUGCUUUAGGCUUAAACUAAUUAUCUUCCUGUACUUAAGUCUGCUGUAGCUUUACCAGUUGAGUUUAGAAGGAUAUUCAGGUAAAAAUUCAAAAGUUUGACAGUAUAUAUUAUUCACUCCUCAACAGUGUAUCAGAUGUGCUGAAGAAGUUACAGGAGUAUGUAGAAGACAUAAAUGAAAAUAUUGAGAAGCUUGAUACUAGGGGCCCUGUUUCAAAAUAUGUGCUACCAGAUGAAAACCUAAGGGGAAGGUAUGCCUUUGUCGACUGCUUUGUUUAGUAGGAGCAUGCUGAGUGGUUGUUGCUUUCACUUUAAAUUUGGUAGGAAUGAAAAAGGGGAUUGUAGUUUAUCAAAUUGAAAAUCAUUUAUCCACUAAUUCAAGAAAAUUUUAAUAUACAGAGAAGAAGUAUGCAUAAGGUAAUUACACAUCCUAAGAUUAUAAACACUGCAAGAAACCAUUAUUAGGCCCAACAGUCAACAAUGUAAUGCGAAAGUUUUUUGUAAACUGACAGAAAAGUUAAAACUGUCCCUGGAUACAAUCUAUGAAUAUGGGAUAAAUUCUACAUUUUAGAUCUUGAACUAAGACUUCUCUGUUGCAAAUGGUUUUUCAACUCAAAGCCACAUGCUUCAUCUGGGACUAGGAGGGAUCACAGAACCAAAGCUCCCUUGUUUUCUACAGUUUCUAAUUCAUAUCUUUCCACUUUCCCAGAAGUUUAAUUGAGUAUGCUCUUUCAAAGUUCAAAUAAACAGAAAAGAAAGUCCCACAUCUUUCUUGCAAACUGGAAAGCAUUUCAUCGAAGGAUAUUUAGGUUUGGGCUUCCUGUCAUAGACAUGCUUCAUCACGUUGGGGGUUUUCUUUUAUCUUUUUCCUUGGGAGUUGGAAUGGGCAGCACUGAUGGCAAACAACAUAAGGGAAAAAAAUGCCCAUGUCAUGAGAACUUUUGUUUCCACAUAGGGGAUGGAACAGCUUUCCACUAAUAAAGACAUUCCUUGAUCAAGUAUUUAUGUUGUGAAUUGCAUUGCACCCUGAGAUUAUAAUUUCAAACAUGGAAGUAGGGUGAUGGUCUUAUGGAAUCAGUUUUCUUUGCAUAUCAGUACAGUACUCAUUGUGUAACAUUCAGUUUUACAAUUUAUUUACCCUCAGAAUCACACUAAGUUUCAACGAGGCAAAUUCUGGAGUUGCUUGCAAUCUUGAAUCCCCUGGUUUCCAUGUCCUAUGUAAAGCGACUGAACAGGCAGUGGGGCAUGUAAAGCCCUAUUCUAUUACUGGUAGUUUGCCACUUAUUAGAGAAUUGCAGGUACAAUGAAUUUGCUUGUCAUAAGACUCAAAUCUUUUGGCAUCCUUCUAACUUUGUUAUUUGGCAGGAUGAGGGCUUUGAUGUCCAAACUGCAGGCUAUGGUAAGAUUCUUCCAUAUCCUACCACUUUUUUAUUUAAAUAAUAUAAGCUUAUAGCUGUAUGCUUCUGGUAGUAUUUUGUGAAAAAGAUGUUUUAGUCUGCACUAGGAUUUUUCCUAGAGCUUGGUUGCUUGAAUCCUUUCUUGAGCAUGUUACUUGCCAGUUAUACCAUUCCUCUUAUCUUAGAAGGAACUCGAUGAAAGCAUGUUAAGAUUCUGUCUUCUUGAUAAUUAUUUCUUCUAUAUGGCUAACACCUAACCUGGUUGACAUCUUCUACACCCAUUCUGAUGCAAAAGAUAUAUAUGCUGCUGUCAAUUUUGGCUACACCAAAACAGAUGGAUUAAUGGAUUUUGCUCUUUUCAUAAACAUGCAGGCUUGAUGGCUACAUACCAUGCCAAGAAUGAGUACUGCCUUCUAACUGACAUGUGCCAGGGCUAUCAUGUGCCUUGUGCCCAUGUCAUGCUAAUAAUAACGAAUAAAAUUCAUGACUUUUCAUUAUUGAUGUGAAUGUCAGAUGAUGGAAUAGUGGUAAAGGUGAGGUUAUUUUCUUUUAAUGCGUAGGAAGUUCCACGAAUGGUUGGUGGCUUGUUAAGACUAUAUUUUCUUGCAUGUGGGAUAUUCUUUUGUAUAUUUUCUAGCAUGUAGGAUAUUCUUUUGUGACUUGUGAGAAAGUCGUGGUAAUUGUUAUGUUUCAUAUGAAUAGUUUCCAUAUUUUAGUUAUUCCUAUCUGACACAUAUGGCUCACUCAUUGCCAAGUCUUGGAAAUUUUUUGCACGGGAGCACCAUUGAUGGUAAUAAAUGGAAAAAAAAAUGACAAUAAUAGGUGCAGAAAUGGUAUAAUGGUAAGGUUUCUUACACAAAUUGAAAAAACAAUGAAAGAAAAGGAUAGGGAUGAAAGAAUAUAAAGGACUUUAUGAACUUUGUGUUUCUAUAGCCAUUUGAUAUUCACACACAGAUUAUUGCUUCAUUUUGAAACAGGUUGCAAAGGAGGGAAUUCCACUGCCUCCAGAUAGAAUGUUAUGCCCUUUGUGUUCACAAAAGCAUGUAAAUCCAUCAGCUGUAGCUGUUUCAGGAUUUGUCUUUUGUUAUUCUUGCAUAUUUAAAUAAGUCUCUUAGGUUUGUUUCUCCAUACUUUUGUAUUGAUCAUGGUAAAAUUGCAGAACUACUGCCAAAUAUUGUUUCUAAGUGAUGCUUUCUCUUAUGUCGCAUUUCAGGAAGCUUUAUCAUUUUUCUGUAUAGUGUACGCUAAACUUAAACAGUAAAUUGUACACUGUAGCCAGAAAUUCAAUUUUGCAACUAAUUCUUUUGUUUAAUCAUACUAGCAGUUGCUUGUUACCCGAGUUCAGUUACAUGAGAUUUGCCAUUUUCAGUUACAAUUCGAUAUUGUUUUGAGUUGUUGAUGGGCUGGGAUGCUAGGCUAUCUAGAUCCAUGUCUGUCUUUGUUGUUGUAAACUACUGCAGUAUCUCUGAUGAAAAAUUAUCUGAGUGUUCUCUCUUUUGGUAAAAAUUUCUGUAGUAGGAUAUUUUGUCGUAUAUCAUUUACUUUUAAGUUCCAAUUCUUUUAUGAACAGGACUGUUAGGUCCUUUUCCUUUUCUUCCUUUUUUGGUCGAAUUAAUGAAUGGAAGAUUGUAAUCGCAUGAAUAUUGUACAUUGUGAUAUCUACUCAAGUUAAUGCAUUCUAAGGGCAUUUGCCAAUCUUUGGGCUGACCAUCCUUUGCUGUUGUUGUAUUCAAUCAAAAAGGCAUCGAAAAAAUGUAUCCAUGGCAUUUUAAUUUUCAUCUUCAGCUCAAUUAGGCCAUUAUUAAUCUGGUACAUUUCAGUAAUUGACAGGUGUCGAGCCUGUGCAAUAAUAAAUACCUACUCGAGAAAAAUGAAUUUUCUGUGUAUAGUAGUGAGUAGGGUCGAAUCCACAGGGAUUGGAAAAAAUUCGAUUCUUUUCACGUUCGGGACACGGGGGAUUUUUAUCAAAUAAAACUAAAAAUAAAUAAUUAAACAAUUUAACUAAAAAUAAUUAAACAAUUUAACCAAAGAUAAAUAAUUAAUUAAUACAAUUGUAAAUAGCAAUUAAAUAAAUGAUAAAUAAAUUCUAGCCAAGGAUACAACUACGCAGACACAGUCCAUUCAUCCGAUCAUUGAUGCAAAGAAGGUUCACUUAAUUUAAUUAAUAGGCUAGUUAUAGUCGCCGAUAAACUCUAACGACCAGUUUUUCCUUAAUUUAUUGAUAACCAAGGUACGACCAUUGAUUACCCCUAACCAGGAAAUACUCCUAGGUACGACCGUAGGAAUUAAUUUCCUAAUUGCAUUAAAAACUAGAAAAGCCUAAUCCAAAUUAAUAACACGCUACGAGGGUUAUUUAAAUCAGAUUGCAUGUUCUCCUAGUAUGUGAAAAUACUAGUUGUCACUAAUAUUAACCAACUAAACAAUUAAGGAUUUAAUUGAUUAAUUUGACAAGAGAUUAAUAAGUCAAAUUGCACAUCGGUCCCUUGAUAUCCAAUUAACAAAAUAAUCCCAUGGAAAUUAAAAUAGAAAACAUGCAAAUAUUAACAAAUUAAGGAACACGUAAAAUUAAUUAGAUCUCACAGAUAUUUGGGACUGCGUCUUCGCGUUGAUCCUUGACUAGAGGAGAAAAUUAGCCACGCCUCAUAAGAAAAUUCCCACGCAAUUUAAUUGAACUCAAAGACAUUUAUCUCUUACUAAUAAUUAAAAAUAAGAAUUGUAUUCUCUGUAGUCUAAUACAAUAAAAAUAGUCUCAUGGAAGAGACGGAAGAAAACAAGACACACGAGAAAUCUUCACCCCCAAAACUAAAAACUUCUCUUCCCAGACAGAAGAGAAGAAGAAAAACUGAUUCUGUAAAAUGUCCGGCCCUCUCUCAUUCUCCUCUGCACUAGUUUUAUAUGAGAACUAGUUACGUAGGAAGCAAAUAGAAAAGCUACUUUCAUCAUCAAAGUCCACCUAUGGCUAAUGAGUACAUCUCCCAAAAGAAGAACACAUUUUCUAAAUCAAUGUUACGUGGUCCCUGCAGAAUUCUCUCCUUUUGACUUCUUAUUGCUAGUGGACUUGUCAGGACUUAAUAAUAGGAAGGCAACUCUUCAUCAGCAAUUCCGUUGGUUUGCACAAUUUGGGCUGAUUGUGGAAAGCUUUUAGAAGCUUUCACGUGUGGAGAGAUCUUCUCAAGAAGGUUCCCUUUUAGCACUUUUCUGCUCCACUUUCUGAAAUUAUAUCCAAAUACCAAAUAUAAAUAUAUAUUGACAAUUAAAGCAAUAUUUGGCAAGGAUAAAGAGGAGAAUUAACAAUAAAAUUACUAACAAUUAACAUCCUAUCAAUUCCCCCCACACUUAAAUCAUGCUUGUCCUCAAGCAUGGGAACAACUAAAUUCAACAAUGGCUAACUCUCAUUUCAUUUACUGCCAAGCUAUGCUUAUCCCAAAAUCAAGUUUUAGUGGCUAAGUGUCAAGACAUAUUUCUCCCGAUUAGCUCCUGAAAUCAUAGACUCGUCCAAUUCAUGGCUAACUCGUCUAAGAAAUUAAAAUAUUAAACUAGCAAAAGUUAGCAAUUGGGUCAACUGAAAAUCAAAAUCUCAACAUUGAAGAACAAGGAUCGGCAGGCCAAUAUGAUCAUAAGUUUACACAUUAUUUUAUUCUCUCUCUCUUUUUUUUUUUUUUAACAAUUAAUUUUUUUUUUUCAAAAAUGCUCAGUCCCAAGCUAUUCAAGUCUUUUGACGUGAACUCUGACAUUUUUAGAUGAAAGAGCCCAGUUACUCAACUUUUCACAGCUUCAGGACUAACUACUCAUAGAUAUCGCCACUUUUUGACGCGAAAGUCGACACUUGUGGUGAAAACUCCCGGUUACUGGGUGACGGCACUAGCGGAGUAGAGUCAUUUAUUAAUCACAAUUAAAGUAUCAGAAUACCAGAUAAUUAAAGAUCAUGGCCCACGUCAUCUCCUAAUAUGGAGAACUAAGAUCAACAAUUACCCAAUCCACAUAACAAUUGCUAAUAAAAUAUUUAAAUUGCCUAAACAAGUUAACCACAAUUUGCACCAAGUCAUUAAACUCAUGAUAUUCACCAAGAUAACAUGCGUUUACUUGCCAUCUAAACAAAAUUCAUAGGAUAAAUCACAACCAGCAAUAAACGAAUGAAUUGCCAUAUUUAUUCAUCAAAACACUAGUAAGAAAGGCAGUAAAUUAAAGAAACACCAAUCAAAACUAAACCCAAAUCCCCCCCCACACUUAAAUCACACAUUGCCCUCAAUGUGAUAAUGAAACAGUAAAAAUAAGAAGAAGGACAACGAAACUCCCCUGAAACUGGUGCCAGCUAUUAGCACCUGUAGUUGGAGGAGGCGGAGCGGAGGUCAAAGGGUCGGGAUCGUGGUUUCACCAUUCUUUCCAAAUUGUACUAAAUAAAUAAAAAUCAAGCAAAGUAAAAAGAAACAGGCAAAAUAACACAGAAGUAUCCAACUAAGGAUGAAUAGAAAUGUCAGGUAGUCCAAACACGCAAAAUUUUCAAAAACGUACUGUAAUAAAAAUAAUAAAAACAUACUGCAAUAAUAAAAUAAAAAAAUAAAAAAAAAUAAUAGAAAGAGAUUGAGGCAGGCGCGUGCAUACGAAGCCAGUGGUGCGAUGAAGGUGGUGGCUGUGAGAGAGAAGAGUUUGCGGCAGCUGGAUCUGGUGGUGCUUAGCGACUGCGGGUGGUGGGCGACGGGUUGGGGUAGCGCGCGCGAGGGAGCGGCGGGCUCCAGGUGGCGCGCGCGAGGGAGCGGCGGUGGCGUCGGUGGAGCAGGAUUUAGGGAGGAGACCUGGGGUGGCGGCGGUGGGCGGCGGUGGGGUGAGGUUCGCAGCCGAAGAAGAAAGAAAAAGAAAGGGACAGCGGAAAGAGAAGAAAGAAAAGAAGAAGAAAGAAAGAAAGAAAAAGAAAAGAGAAAAAGAAAGGAAAAAAAAUAGUUUUUGAUCUUACAGUUUUUUUUUUUUUUUUUUAGUUCGUCAAACAUGGCAUGGGCACGCCAAGAUUAGAAAACAUUCUCUGACCUUGAAGUUGGAACUUGUAAGAUUAAUGCGUGCCCUCUCCGCGCGGGCACGCCAUGAUCACCUGUCCUGAUCAUAGUAGAGAAAAUAUCAAAUUUAAGCAAUACCCAGAUGAGAAACGACAUAUUUAACGAAUUGAACAACAAAAACCAACAAAAUCAAAAAUUGGGUUGCCUCCCAAAAGCGCCUUUCUUUAACGUCUUUGGCUAGACGGUGUCCAGAAUUUGCUUAAACUAAGCAAAUCGGGUCUUCCAGUUGCAUCAUCUCCACCCGUUCAAUUGGAAAUCCUUCAUAAUACGGCUUGAGACGGUGACCAUUCACCACAAAUUUCUUCUCCGUUUUCAAAAUUUGGAUCUCUACUGCACCAUAAUGAAAGACAUUAGUCACAACAAAAGGGCCAAUCCAACGAGAACGUAAUUUACCUGGAAAUAGUUUCAAUUUGGAGUGGUAUAGUAAAACUUUUUGCCCGCAGACGAAUAUCUUCCUAGAGAUCUGUUGGUCAUGAAAGAUCCGAUUCUUCUCUUUAUAGAUCACUGCAUUCUCGUAUGCUUCAUUUCGGAUUUCUUCCAACUCUUGUAAUUGCAACUUCCUUUGAAUUCCGCCCUCCUCGAUAUCCAUAUUGCAUUGCUUGACCGCCCAAAACGCUCUAUGCUCAAACUCUAUCGGGAGAUGACAUGGCUUUCCAAAUACCAAUCGGUAAGGGGACAUGCCAAUAGGUGUCUUGUAUGCCGUCCUAUAUGCCCAUAGUGCAUCCUCUAGUCUCACACUCCAAUCCUUCCUAUCGGGUCGGACCAUCUUUUCUAGAAUUGAUUUGAUCUCUCGGUUCGAUGCUUCCGCCUGACCAUUUGUCUGAGGAUGGUAGGAUGUAGAGACUUUGUGCAAAACACCGUAUCUCCUAAAAAUUGCAGCGAUCGUUUUGUUGCAGAAAUGAGUACCCCGAUCACUUACAAUUGCUCGCGGCAUCCCAAAGCGAACAAAAAUAUUAGACUUAACGAAUUCUGCAACCACUUUGGAAUCAUUAGUACGGGUGGCCUUUGCUUCUACCCACUUCGAAACAUAAUCUACAGCAAGCAAUAUAUACAAAAAACCAAAGGACGAAGGAAAAGGACCCAUAAAAUCAAUGCCCCAAACGUCAAAAAUUUCAACAAAAAUCAUUGGGGUUUGAGUCAUUUGAUCCCUACGAGAGAUAUUACCCACUCUUUGACACUUAUCACAUGACUUACAAAAUGAGUAGGCAUCCUUGAAUAGAGUUGGCCAAUAGAAUCCACUCUCUAGCACCUUACGAGCCGUUCUCUUCGGUCCAAAGUGACCUCCACAUGCAAAAGAGUGACAAUAUGCUAGAAUAGAUUGAAAUUCAACUUCACUUACACAUCUACGGAUGAUUUGAUCGGCACCCCGCUUUCAGAGGUAAGGAUCAUCCCAAAUGUAGAACUUUGCAUCGCUCCUCAACUUGUCUCUCUUUGCCUUAGGCCAUCCUGUAGGAAAUUUGUCAGUGACUAUAAAAUUAACAAUAUCUGCAUACCAAGGCAAGAAUGAAUUAAUAGAAAAUAAAUGCUCCUCGGGAAAUGCUUCUCUCAAUGGGAGGUCCUUUUCGACGACUUGUACUCGACUCAAAUGAUCUGCUACUAGGUUCUCUGCCCCUUUCUUAUCUCGGAUCUCCAGGUUGAACUCUUGUAACAACAAUAUCCACCGUAUCAAUCGCGGUUUUGCCUCUUUCUUGGUCAAUAAAUACCGUAAAGCUGCAUGAUCAGAAAAAAUAAUAACUUUAGCACCAAGUAAAUAAGACCGAAAUUUUUCUAAGGCAAAAACAACUGCUAAAAGCUCCUUUUCGGUGGUUGAAUAGUUCAAUUGAGCUCCGUUCAAGGCUCGAGAUGCGUAGUAGAUAGCAUGAGCUGCCUUUCCUACUCUUUGACCCAAUACCGCACCCACUGCAUGGUCGCUGGCGUCACACAUGAUCUCGAAUGGGAGGUUCCAGUCAGGGGGUUGGAUAAUAGGUGAGGUGGUCAAUAACUCCUUUAACUUAUUGAAUGCCCCCUUACAUGUUUCAUCAAAUUCGAAAGAUACAUCUUUUUGCAAAAGUUGGAACAAGGGUGCUCCAAUUUUCGAGAAGUCCUUGAUGAACCUUCUAUGGAAACCUGCGUGACCCAAGAAGGAACGAACUUCCCGCACACUCGCGGGGUAAGGUAAAGUAGAUAUAACAUCUAUUUUUGCCUUAUCAACCUCAAUACCUGUAGAUGAUACAACAUGACCCAAAAACUAUCCCGUGUUCAACCAUAAAAUGACAUUUUUUCCAAUUAAACACGAGAUUAGUUUCUAUACACCUUACUAAGAUCAAUUUCAGGUUAUCUAGACAGUUUUCAAAACUUUCACCAAAUACACUGAAAUCGUCCAUGAAAACCUCAAUAAUCUUCUCAACAUAUUCUGAAAAGAUACUUACCGUGCAUCUUUGGAAGGUAGCAGGUGCAUUGCACAAUCCAAAUGGCAUCCUUCGGUAUGCAAAUGUUCCAAAUGGGCAGGUGAAAGUAGUCUUCUCUUGGUCUUCGGGUGCGAUGGCAAUUUGAAAAUAACCUGAAAAUCCAUCCAAGAAACAAUAGUAAGCUCGACAUGCUAAUCGCUCCACCAUUUGGUCAAUGAAAGGGAGGGGGAAAUGGUCCUUUUUCGUGACGGCAUUUAGCUUUCGGUAAUCGAUACACUGUCGCCAUCCGGUGGGCUUUCGAAUUGGUACGAGCUCACCCUUUUGGUUUGAUUCCACUGUCACCCCUGCCUUCUUCGGGACCACCUGUACUGGACUUACCCAUGGGCUGUCUGAUAGUGCAAAUAUAAUUCCAACGUCCAGCAGCUUUAAAAUCUCUUUCUUUACGACCUCCAUCAUGAGAGGAUUUAAUCUCCGUUGAGCUUGUCGUAUAGGUUUAGCAUUCUUCUCGAGUCGAAUUCGGUGCAUACACACCGCGGGGCUAAUUCCCUUGAUAUCGGCGAUGGUCCAUCCUAUCGCCUGCUUAUGUUCCCUAAGAACUCGAAGUAGUUUCUCUUCUUGAACCUUUGAUAAACCCGCGGAGAUGAUCACUGGAAGUGUCUCCCCUUCACCUAAGUAUAUAUACUUUAGGUGUUUCGGCAGUGGUUUUAGUUCCAAAACAGGUGCCUGCACCACAGAUGGAAGUAACCUUUUGUGAGGUUCAGGUAUAAAAAUGGGUGCGAGGUCAUACCUUGUCUUCGUGGUUGGUAACGUUUGCAACGAUCCAAUCACGCAUUUAAGCUCUUCACUCAACUCUACUCCAGAUGUCGUUUCGGACUCGAAGUGCUUGGUCAGAACGACCUCUAACUCAUCUCUGCCUUCAAUUUCAAAAACCUCCUGUAUAGCAGGGUCAAUAACAUUUACCGAGAAAACAGAGCCAACAUUUGAAUCGGAUGGAUAUUUCAUGGUCUCAAAGAUGUUAAAGUGAACAAUCUCACCAUCAAAUUCCAUAGACAAAAUACCCUUAUUAACAUCAAUUUUGGUUCGGGCUGUGCUCAAAAAGGGUCUACCUAACAAUAGAGGUGACGGACCACGGGAGUGUUCAUCCUCCAUGUCGAGCACAUAAAAAUCAGCUGGAAAAACCAAUUCAUUAAUUUUUACCAAAACAUCUUCAAUCAACCCGUCAGGGUAUGCAUUGGUCCUGUCAGCUAAUUGGAUUAUUAUCCCAAUUUCUUUCAAAGGGCCUAAGUUCAAAGAAGCAUAAAUAGAUUUCGGCAUGACAUUAAUCGAUGCUCCUAGAUCUAACAUGGCCUUUCCAAUCAAAAUAUUACCUAUCCUACAAGGAAUAGUAAACAUACCUGGAUCUCCGCAUUUCGGUGGAAGCUUUCUUUGUAGAAUUGCUGAAACAUUCUCCCCAACUAUAACUCGUUCAUCUCCCUUCAAUCGCUUGCGGUUGGCACACAGGUCCCUCAAAAAUUUUGCGUACCUGGGUACUUGUUUAAUCGCAUCCAGCAGGGGUAUGUUGAUCUCCACCUUGCGAAAGAUCUCCAAGAUCUCUUUUUCCUUGUCUUGCUUCUUUGGUUUCUCUAACCUGCUAGGAAAGGGAGGUGGAUUAGUUUUAGCUGUAGGAAUUGGGUUCGAGGGUACCUUUGCAUUUUUGUUGUCUCUGCCCUCCUCUUCCAAAUCUUUCUCAAUCCGUUCCUCGUCCUUGUCUUUAGGAAUCACCGGUUCGGGUCCUUGAACUUCCUUGCCACUCCUCAAGGUCAUUGCGCUUACAUUCUUUGGAUUUGCCUCAGGUUGAGAUGGCAACUUUCCUUGAACUUGGGACUCCAAACGAUUGAUUGUUAUAGCCAUUUGAUUCAUUUGAUUUUGCAAUGAUUGCACCUGUCCCAAUUGAUUUCUCAUGCUUUGCAAGUCUGAAUCCGUCUUUUGUUGAUUAGCAAGUAAUUGCUUCAUCAUCUCUUCCAUGGACGGACUUGAAUUUGAAGGGGGUGGUGGUGGUGGGCGAGGAUGGUACUGCUGUUGGUGUCCUUGCUGUCUAUUUGGCACAAAGUUAGACUGCCUAUUUCCUCCAUAGCUAAGGUUGGGGUGAUCCCUCCAACCAGGAUUGUAGGUGUUUGAGUAUGGAUCAUACGGCUUUCUUGGCGUGGGCGCGUGGCCAGCCAUGUUCACCUGUUCUGCAGUUUCUUCUUGAACCAGUGGACACAUUUCCGUAGGAUGACCUACGGCAGUGCACACCCCACACACUUUGGCUUGCGAGGCACUUCCCACAGCUAAUUGUCUGACGAAAGAUGUUAAUUCGGAGAUCUGCUGUUGGAUAGAGGACGUUUCUACCUUAUUCACCCUACGCGUCGGGAUGUCCUCUCUUGAACCAAACUGCUGUGAGUUCUCAGCCAUUCCUUCAAUCAGCUCCCAUGCUCCUCGAGGAGUUUUGUUCACCAACGCCCCUCCACUUGCAGCAUCGAUUAUGCUUCUGUCCCUGAAAAGCAACCCUUCAUAGAAAUAUUGAAUGAGCAGUUGCUCACUUAUCUGAUGCUGAGGGCAUUUGGUGCAUAGUUUCUUAAACCUCUCCCAGUACUCAUAGAGUGACUCGCCUGGGUGUUGUUUGAUGCCACAUAUCUCCUUCCUUAGACUUGCAGCUCGAGAUGCCGGAAAGUAUUUGUCCAGAAAUUUUUUCUUCAAUUGAUCCCACGUGGUGAUACUACCAGGCGGUAGGUAGUAGAGCCAGUCUUUUGCGGAGUCCUUCAAAGAGAAGGGGAAAGCCCUCAUCUUUAUUUGCUCUUCUGUAAUUCCCGGAGGCUUCAUACUGUUGCAAACGACGUCAAACUCUUGCAAGUGCUUGUAGGGCUCCUCACCUGGUAGACCAUGGAAAGAUGGCAAGAGAUGAAUUAAACCAGAUUUUAGUUCAAAGGGAGUGUCAUCAUUUAAAUUUGGAAAAGUAAUGCACAAGGGCUGCUGAUUUAAAUCAGGAGCAGCCAACUCCCUUAAUGUUCGUGUAUUUGCCAUAGUGACUUCCUCUUGGUCUGAAUCACUCGAAUUGUCACCAGACAAAUUUAUCGGCUCAACCUCUGGAUCUAGUCCCUGAGGUGCAAUACCGUAUUGCUCUUCUCUGAGCCGCCUGGUUUCUUUCCUCGUUCUACGCGCGGUCUUCUCUACUUCAGGGUCGAAAACUAAUUCGCCUGUACGAGAAGAGCGAGGCAUAAACUAGAAAAAAAUACCAGAAAAUUAGAACAAAAAUGAACUUAAAAAGAAACAAAUAAUUAACGCCAAUCCCCGACAACGGCGCCAAAAAUUGACAGGUGUCGAGCCUGUGCAAUAAUAAAUAUCUACUCGAGAAAAAUGAAUUUUCUGUGUAUAGUAGUGAGUAGGGUCGAAUCCACAGGGAUUGGAAAAAAUUCGAUUCUUUUCAAGUUCGGGACACGGGGGAUUUUUAUCAGAUAAAACUAAAAAUAAAUAAUUAAACAAUUUAACUAAAAAUAAUUAAACAAUUUAACCAAAGAUAAAUAAUUAAUUAAUACAAUUGUAAAUAGCAAUUAAAUAAAUGAUAAAUAAAUUCUAGCCAAGGAUACAACUACGCAGACACAGUCCAUUCAUCCGAUCAUUGAUGCAAAGAAGGUUCACUUAAUUUAAUUAAUAGGCUAGUUAUAGUCGCCGAUAAACUCUAACGACCAGUUUUUCCUUAAUUUAUUGAUAACCAAGGUACGACCAUUGAUUACCCCUAACCAGGAAAUACUCCUAGGUACGACCGUAGGAAUUAAUUUCCUAAUUGCAUUAAAAACUAGAAAAGCCUAAUCCAAAUUAAUAACACGCUACGAGGGUUAUUUAAAUCAGAUUGCAUGUUCUCCUAGUAUGUGAAAAUACUAGUUGUCACUAAUAUUAACCAACUAAACAAUUAAGGAUUUAAUUGAUUAAUUUGACAAGAGAUUAAUAAGUCAAAUUGCACAUCGGUCCCUUGAUAUCCAAUUAACAAAAUAAUCCCAUGGAAAUUAAAAUAGAAAACAUGCAAAUAUUAACAAAUUAAGGAACACGUAAAAUUAAUUAGAUCUCACAGAUAUUUGGGACUGCGUCUUCGCGUUGAUCCUUGACUAGAGGAGAAAAUUAGCCACGCCUCAUAAGAAAAUUCCCACGCAAUUUAAUUGAACUCAAAGACAUUUAUCUCUUACUAAUAAUUAAAAAUAAGAAUUGUAUUCUCUGUAGUCUAAUACAAUAAAAAUAGUCUCAUGGAAGAGACGGAAGAAAACAAGACACACGAGAAAUCUUCACCCCCAAAACUAAAAACUUCUCUUCCCAGACAGAAGAGAAGAAGAAAAACUGAUUCUGUAAAAUGUCCGGCCCUCUCUCAUUCUCCUCUGCACUAGUUUUAUAUGAGAACUAGUUACGUAGGAAGCAAAUAGAAAAGCUACUUUCAUCAUCAAAGUCCACCUAUGGCUAAUGAGUACAUCUCCCAAAAGAAGAACACAUUUUCUAAAUCAAUGUUACGUGGUCCCUGCAGAAUUCUCUCCUUUUGACUUCUUAUUGCUAGUGGACUUGUCAGGACUUAAUAAUAGGAAGGCAACUCUUCAUCAGCAAUUCCGUUGGUUUGCACAAUUUGGGCUGAUUGUGGAAAGCUUUUAGAAGCUUUCACGUGUGGAGAGAUCUUCUCAAGAAGGUUCCCUUUUAGCACUUUUCUGCUCCACUUUCUGAAAUUAUAUCCAAAUACCAAAUAUAAAUAUAUAUUGACAAUUAAAGCAAUAUUUGGCAAGGAUAAAGAGGAGAAUUAACAAUAAAAUUACUAACAAUUAACAUCCUAUCAGUAAUGUAUCAGUAAACUGGCAUUUUACUGUAUCAGUAAUCUUCCAUGUUUUAAUGCUUCUUUUGAAAUGCAAUGUAAGGUUAUUCCCUGUUUUCUCCAGUAUUAUCUUCUUGAAGAAUUUAUCGGUCUUUGCUACAACUAUUUCUGCAGCAAUGGAUAAGUUUUAGUUGCUUUCAAUUACUUUGUGAAAUUACGUCAGAAGCCACGGGUGAUGAAUCCAAAAAGAUAUAGCAUCAACUUACAAGGUUUCAACCUGCAAGUUAUUAGGUUUUCUGAAAAUAUAGAGAAUACCUCGCUUUUAUAGUUUGUGAUUUUACUAUCCAGUGCAGCAGCCAGGUACAUUAUCAUCAUCGUUGCCAAAUUCAUGUAAUGCAAUGGAUUUGAAGUCUUUGCAUUGUCUUGAAGUUUAAUGGACUUUUGGAUUAUCAACCUUAAUCUAUAUAGCUCAGUGAUAUUUUUCCCUCUGUCAACUGCCAUGCAUAUUCAUACUGAUAUACAAAAAAAAAAAAAAAAAAAGAGGAUUUGCAUGCAAUGUUGCAUAAAAGAAGAAUGCACCAAAAUUCAAUCACUCCCUUAAUCCACAUAUUUGACAAGGCAUAUUACCUUUAGUCACCUACGUGCAUCGCGCGUUUUAUACCUCCUAGUCUUCUCUUAAGAUGUGAAACCCAAGAUUCUGAUAUAAGAUUGGGCAUCAUAAAGAAAAUGACCACCAUCUUCAUCUCUCUAUCUCACAGUUUCACAUGCACACUGCAAGCUGCCCAACCUUGAAAAUCUUGAUUUUAUAUGAGACAGACUGUGAUUCUCAAGAUUCAAAGAUACCUGCUCAAGAUGCAACUUUGGCAACCAAAAGGGAAUUCAGAUCUGAACUAAAGUGGUAGGAAAUCCAUUUAUCAAGGUAUUUUUUUUUAUUUGCUCAUUUCCUCCACCUCCAUAAACUUUCAGCAGGUUUUCACUGAUAGAUUAGAUGAACAAUCUAGAAGCAUGAAUUGUUUCAAAGAAAAAGUUCGGAAAGAUUCUAUCAAAGAUACACAACAGGAGUAGUCAUUCAAACCAUAUGAAGUGGGUGAGCUUCAAGAAAUGAAGAAAACAUUCUAACCACAACUUUUGAAAAUUUUUUACUUUGGCUUAUUUAUGCACAUCAAAAUGUCAGAACAAGAUGGCUAAUGGUCAAGUCUAAAGCACAAGAAGGGUACAAAGUUUUCAACAAUCUACAAAAACAUUGCGUAACAAAAUCUGCCCAAAAGCUGAGAUAAGCGGGAACAAGCUCAUCUAUUAAACAUAGAAGACAAAACUUAAGCUAAGAUCCAAUCGCAAAAUUUGAGGUCAUUGGGACCUCAAGAUGACGGACAAGCAUGUCGCUCUCUCAUGUUGAAUUUGCAGAGGGCCGUUUACGCUGAUUGUGAUCAGAACUACAAGAGAACUGAAGCAAGAAAAGAAAAUCAGGAAAAUAUAGGGAAGCUGAAACUUUACAAAUAGCAGAUCCCAUACCUUACCAAAUUGAAUCACAGCUUUGGUGUGUUUCUGCAUAUAUUUAUACAUAAGUGCUUGUGCAGAAGUAUCAUACAAGAUCUGCCACGGCACAAAAAGUAUGUCUCAGUACACAAUUGUAAACUCAGCCAGACAUUGAACGAAAAAAACGUUUUAGGAACAGAGUCUGAUACGAAAAAACAAAAUGUUGACUUCCAUUGUGCUUGACAGUUCGUGUCACUGCAAUCUUGAAGCUAUAGCAUCAAAUCCAAACCAAAGCAUUGAGAAACUAGAAGAAUUGUUUUGACAAAUUUGAAUAACUUAAUUAAUGAAUUCAGUCAACAGAUAAUAUUAGUACUGUACUACUAUAUCUAACCUAAAUUGCAGAAUCCCAACCUCCGUUGACUCUCUUCUGCAUCUACCAGCACAGAAUAGAGGUGAACGGUUCACCAUUUUAACAUGUGAUAAGGAAAUCAACUCUCUCCUUCCCCUCUCAUUGUCAAGAUAACAUCCAAAUCUCAUUGCAUUUUCACUCCAUGGCUGUCUGGAUCACUCGCAAUGACAUGAGAGCGCCAAUUCUUUUAAAUUCAGGGGGAAAGUUAAAACCAAACUCACGUACAGAAAACUGAACCAAUUUGAGUGAUUCCAGUUGACUCAGAAAAUCCAGCUUGAUAAUUUUAUUGCAACUCCUCCUGAUCAUGUUCCAAAAGCGUUCCACGGUAUCUCCUCCACCAAUUUCUCACAUACAGAUCAAAAGUCUUUAUAAGUCCUACCCUGUCUAAUGUCGCUCUUUAACAUCCCUAUUUAAUUCCUUAAUAUAGCAUCAUCUGCAGGUCAUCAUUUAACAGGUUGAAGCCAACCUGAAUGGUUACUAAAGACUAGCAGAAUGCUAUUGCACUCCGCUCCUAAAUUUUUCUUCAGACAAGCAUGCUAUAUGUGUACUUACCGUGAGGAAAUUUUUGGGCUUGUGCACGAGGACUAUCUGGAGUUUAUAUUUGUAUCUUACCUUCAUCGAUCUUCAGAAACCAGAGUGUUAUUAAUUGGUGCAGGUAUUAUGUAUUAAUUAUACAAGCUUUUGACCUUUUUUGUGAGUUAUUAAAACGAAAGAUGCUGUAGUUAGUUCUUCUAAGUGUGUUACUUCGAGUUCUGAAUUGGCAACUAUCUCAAUAUCAAAUGAAUCUUAGAAGCAUAAUCAUAUGGUAGCUAGACACUACCAACUGUAAGCCUAUAAUGUUGCAGACAUUUGGGUUGAACUGUUGUCAGUUGACUGACUAUAUUAUUAUGAACUGAUGUUGUACAUUGAGGAGAUGAGUCCAUUAUCUUGAGUAAUCUAAUAAAUUUUGAUACAUAAAUGUCAAAAAAUGGGGAUGCAUUUUUAGCUGAGGGCCUGAAGGCUUUGUAACUUACAAUAAUGACAAAUUCAAAACAAACAUCUACCACCGCCUUUCUUCUAAAUUAGUAGCAGUUCUCCAUUCUCUGUUUUUUUUUUUUUGGGGGGGGGGGGGGUAAAGAUUUGGUAGUGCCGUAAGGCUGCAAUUUUGAUGAGGCAAUUCAAAAUGUGAAUUAUUUUCCAGAGCCAUUACAAUAGGAUAUCAAAUCCGUAACUUAAAAAAAAAAAAAAGGAAGAUUACUGCAGUGUAAAUAUUGAACUAAUCUAAGAUCCAUGAAGCACCAUAAAUGAACAAAAUGAACUUCAAUCAAUUUAUCGGAGAUGUCAAAGUAAAAGGUAGACAAGCCAGAAGUAAAUGGGCAUCAGAGGUUGAAAUGAGAAAGAGACAUUUUUCAUGAUUGAUGGCUAGCAUUACAAUUUCCUUCAAUCAAAACAGGAUUUUUCUUAAGACAUAGUAUGAAUAGAAAGUUCAACCAUUUCGUAGAACAUAUGCAAAAUGAGCAAAACACGGCUAAAGUCUCACAUUUUCAUUGUUCUGGAUUGCUUGACAUCAUUGCACUAGUAAUCUCUGUUAUUGGCCAUAUUGGUUGCCUAAUUUUGGUGGGCAUGGCUACAGAGAAAAGAAGGGAAAAUGGAAAACAUUAUUGUUCGGCUCAAGUUUGGGUAGUUUUAGUAAUUAGGCAACGCUAAUUCAUCAAAAUGAACUGACCUUAUGAAUUUUUGUGGAGAAUUUUGGUUUAGUUAUGGAGACUGGGGAGAAAGAUGUAAAGAAAAAGAGUGAGGGAAAAAAGUGGGGAGGUGGACAAUGUAUAAAGUUUCCAACAGACUGUAAAUUGUAUAUUAUCAUUGUAAAGUAUUUUGAACAAAUUGUAAAUAAUGAGCAUUAUCUUGUGAAUGUUGUUGUUAUCAGUAUUAUGCGAAAUUAUAUUCAUGUAACGAACAAAAACAGACACAAAUACCAUAAACAAGAACUAGAAUUUUAUCCUUCUUAUACUUCUCAAAUCUCCAUCAUGUAUUCCAAGUUAAAGACUGAGGGGUACACACUAUCCAAUUCAAUUCAGUAUAUACAGUUUUCCUUUUAAGAAAAAAAAAAACUUGCAAUUCAAAUAUUUUUCACUUGAUUACAAAUUUACAACAAUCAUUUCCACUUCAUUAACGGCAAAUGAAAUUUUUAGUGCUAUUCUUGCAAGACUUGUUCCCCUUCCUGAUGCAAUUAUUGAAGUAGGUUUCAUCAGGGAAUAACAAUGGCUACUAGUGACAACUUUUUAAGAUGAUAAUCAAGCUAGUGAGGUAUGGUCCCAGAAUCAAGGGAUUACCUGUCAAGAACAAUAUCAAAAACAGGAAGGGCAUGAAGGUUAAGUAGCUCAUGCAAAGCCUCCAGUGGGUGAUAAAAUACUAGAUGAUCCAUCCGCUGGAAAUAUUCAAUUGAAGAACCUUGACAGCAUCAUAAAUACUUGGCUGGUUAAGGCAUUUGCUGCAGGCCAGUAGUGCAUGAAGACUGUCAAGUCAUUCAUGCAUGCUGCACUACUUUGUGGUUUUAUUUAGGUUGUCCUUCUGUAUAUGUAGAACUCUGCUCCAUUGGGUGAUUGAAUCAAUCAAACAAACUAAUAGAAGAAAAAAAAUAGAGAAUUGGAGCACAUAAACCUGACAAUUGCAGGCAAAUAGCUUUGAGUAUAGUUCCAAUAUCUGUUUAACGUCAGAUGCUCAUUCUUGGAGGACCUGCAAAAAAAAAAUUGAAUUCUAUGUAUAUGCUGUUUUUGAGCUUUAUGAGGAAAUGGAACAACAGAGCAGAAAAAUAAAGCCCACGAAAACCUUAAAUUGGGAAAACUGUAAAGAUAUUUGGUAAAUCACAAAGCUAACACUAAAUUGGACCAUCUGCUCUUGAGUAUCGUCAGAAAAAAGGUAGGACUAGUACUUUUGGUCCUUCCAAAUGUCUUUCAAUUCUAAAGAUGCAAUUGUUGGAGAAGAACAGAGAGAACAUAUAUUGACUGCAAAACACCAAGCAGGUGAAGUAAAUUCCAGAUUAAAGGCUAAUGGAAGUAUGAAGAACUACCUGAACGAAUGGCUUUCAUUACAAUUUUCACAACAAAGCAUAAGAAUUAGACACGAACAAACCACUUUGGCUGUGCCAGUUUAGCAUCAAAUUAUAUUUACCCUUUGACCAUUUCAGAUCUUAUAUCAAAUGGCACAAGACAAAUUUUGACAGCAUUGAGCAUCAACUUCUUAUAUAGACAAUGACUAUCAGGCUAUCUUCCAGAUAACCCUCCUUUCCACUGACCGGCAAAAGAUGAGAGAGAGUGAAUAAGUAGAUGCUGCACAAACAUCUUUCAUAGCCAAUCCUAGAAGAGCGGAAGUUACGUGGAUAAUGCACAACUAGUAUGAGCAACUUAUAAUCAAUGAUGUAGUUCGCCUUCUGAAGUGUUAGAAAACGACUUGUACAACAAACUUAUCAAUGCACCAACGCAGAAUCAUGGUAGAGGCAUCAUGGAAUCAUUAAAUGCUAGUUUCACUUUCAGGCAUCAUUUGUCAUAGCCAUUUGCAGAGAGGUAGAGACCACUUUCCUGAGCUCACCCGUCCCAUUCCAACAAGUAUAUAUUAAUGGAUACUUCAUCAAGAUAUUCAUCCAGUUGGUACUCCUGCCUUUUGCUCAUUUCCAAUUUUCUCUAGCUGGCAGUUGAUCUAUGAGUCAGAAGUUAGGAUAUUUUUCUCUUCCAUCUAUUUCACCGUACUUUUUUCCCUUCUUGAAAGAUCUUCUCUUCCCACUUUGAUCAGCAACCAACAAAUAUUGGACCUCGAAAAAUUUGAAGUGUUGAUGCUGCUUAUUCUUUCAAAAAUGCAACAGAAUUGCUCCUAGGAUAAAUCACAACAGAUGUGCUUAAAUUAAAGUGCAGAGAUUAAAUCAAAAUGCUGCUUACAUGAUUUGUGGAAAAACUGAAAAUGGUGAUCAUCUCUUUCACUCUCUCUCUCCCCCUCACCCAACCACACACGCACACGCACUCAUUGAAACCGCCCGAGCCAAAGAAAUUGAUUCUAAAUUAGACUCGUAUUGAUAGAUUUAAGCCACUUGUUGAAGAUGCAACUUACCAACAAAUUGCAAAUGGGGCAUCAGAAUGCAUGCUAAGUCGGAUGAAGAACAUAGUAACAGUCUAAAUACUUAGAAUUUUCUGGUACUACAUCCUUUCAUCUAGUUUGAAAUUCCACCACCCCCAGGACCUUUCAGCAUCUUUUCGCUAAAUCAGUGAGAUGGGAAAACAAGAAUCCAUGAAAAUAUCUUCAAGCAAAUUAUUACUAAAGAUUAAGUACACAGAAAAUAGUAUUUAUUAGAACCAUCUAACAGGGUUCAUCUUCAUGAAAUAAAGAAUAUACUUACUUCAACAUGUUAAUUUCUUUUUGCCUACUGAUCUUGGCUUCUUUAUGCAUAUCAAGGUAUCAAAAGAAGAUGGAUAAAGCACAACUAAUUUAUAUACUUUAGAACAUACUACAAGAACAUAGUUUUUUUUUUUGUUUUAACUCUGGUAAAUGCAGACAUAAGCAGGAACAAGCUCAUGUCUCUAGACGAUAAAAAAAAAAUAGAAAGACAAAACUGAAAAAGACAGAUUCUCAUGUUUGCCAAGCCGUCAUUAACUAUAUACACAUAUUCUACCCAACAAGGUUGCAAACGCAUACAGCAUUCUUUGCAUUAAAAAAAAAAGGAAAAAGAAAGUCUCAGGUCAUUCAGCUAUUUACUUCAAGAAAAGAAACCCACUCUGCAUUACUUAAGCUGAAAUGUAUAGAAGAAAUAAAAAUGUGUACCUGACAUUUAUGCUUGUGCUCAGUUGGUUUGAAGGAUCAUACCAAUCUGUAGCCAUAUUGAAGAGGAUUUCAGAAAUUAGAUAGUUUUGAUUAUAUAAACACAUGACCAUUCAAAUCAAAGAACUGAAAACCUCCAGGAAUUGCUUUGCGAAAUAUGAAUGAUUAUAUCAUUGAACUGAUCCAACAUGUACAAUUAGUACUAUGGGAGUGGAUCUAACCUCAUGAGUGGAAUUCUUCUCUGCUUUGACUCCCUUUCUGAGUAGAUCUAAUAAUGACGCUCUUUAAGUCCUUGUUUCCCCAUUCUCUCUGUUCUUGCAGAAUUUGCUCCACAGAAUUUACAGCAGACUCACUACACCUUUUCAACUCAAUCAUUUUAAGAGUGACGCUUUCCCCUAAACAAGGAGGGACCUCUUCCAGCUCCUCACAAAACUCCAAAACCAAUUUCUCAAGACAGGAAAAAUUAUCAGAAGAGGCAGUCCACCUGCGAAUGUACAACCCUGACAAUUUCAAAAAUCGGAGGUUACAGAAUUCCCCUUCUGCCAUUUCCCAUUCUUCCUCCCGAACGGAACGAUGGCAUAAUUUAAGCACUACAAGGUUGGGCAGCUUUCUUCCAAUUGCAGAAAUUUUACUCCACGGCCAAUAAUUAUAGGAGAGAGUCAACUUUUUCAAAUUCAAAUUCAAUGAGAAUUCAAACUCAUCUCUACUCAUCCUGCUUAUCUUAAGUGAUUCUAGUCGACUCAUGUAGUUCAGCAUGAGAAUCUCCCCGUGAUUUCCACCAGAUUCGAUUGCUCGGUAACUUUCGUAUGUCGCUAUUGUUAGCCUGCGGGUGCUCUGUAACUUUGACAGUAUCUUUUGUGCACUUUGAGAAUAGGGAUUCAUUGCAAGACUUAAAGUGUCUAAAUGUUUUAAAUCAGGGGAGCCUUCAAGAUUGUCCUUGGGAAAUAUGAAACCACAGGCGGGCAAUGAUGUGACAAGAUGCCUCAAUGUUUCAAUGUUCCAGAUAGUGUUUGGUAACACAUAAUCUUCAGCGCGUGCUUCUACUACAAAAGUUUCUAACCUUGAGAGGUUGGCUAUUGCAGAUGGGAUAUCCCCAGCAAACCUUCCAAUUCUCAAGUACCUCAAGUGAACGAGGAAUACUACUUCCCUUGGAAAAUAUGAAGUCGGAUAAGAAUUGUUCCAGAAAUCCAGCACUCUAAGAAGUUUAGACAGCAGAAAUUUGAAUGAAUUCUUAUCCAGCUGUGUAUGACUAUCACCACAGAAGAGCAAACAACGCAAAUUGGGAGAAAACAGUCUUGAUUUUGUAGGCCCCAUAGUCAUGGUGGGGUGAAUAGACAAUCGAUGGAGGUUACAUGGUCCAGUAAAAGUUAAAAGGUUACCCACAUGUAAAAUCUGUAGAAAACUUUCUUCUUUAGCUUUCGCCACGCAAAACUCAUGUACCAAAUCAUGGAUUCGGCAAGCUUUGAUCCCACCUGAAGAUCUUUGUUGGGUAGCCAUAACUAAACUUCUCCUAACCAGAUCCAUCAAAUAGUCAUCUGCCACAUCCUCUAAGCUCUUUCCUUCAGUCUUUUGCACGAAUCCUUCAGAGAUCCAAAUCCAUAACAACCUUCGGAUAGGAAUUUCUUGGUCUUCUUGAAAUGCACCGAAGUAAAGAAGGCAUGGUUUCAAAUAAUCUGGUAAAUUAUUGUAACUUAAUUCAAUUGUCUUCAUGCAAUAUUCAUUGUCAACAAAAAUGCUGGAAGUUAAAUGUUUUACAACUUCUUCCCAGCAAUCUUGCUCAGUAGUAGCAAGAAUUCCGGCAACAAGGACAACUGUGAGAGGUAGGCCUUUACAGUUUUUUGCUGCAUGCAGUAAAACAUUACUUAAUAUUGGAGGACAAUCUUCUUUGGCAAAUAGCUUUUUCUGCAGCAAUUCGCAGCUUUCAUUAUCUGUAAGUGGGCGAAGAUGGUGAGGCUCACUAUCAAGUUUAAUUUGCAAUGACAAUUCCUGCAAUCUACUGGUUAAGAGAAUCCUGCUUCCAUUGCAAUCAUCUGGCAGUGAGAGUUUCAAUAAAUCCCAACCCCGAAUGUCCCAAACAUCAUCCAGAACUAUGAGAUACCUAUUUCCCUUCAACAAUUUGCGUAGCCUGUUAGCCAUGUAAUCUUCAUCUCUCCGAAGAUAUCCAGCUGAGUUCCCACAAUCGAUAUUACACAACAUUUGAACUAACAAACUAUGCUUGGUAUAUGCUCGAGAAAAACAACACCAAGAACGAAUGUGAAAGUGGGACUUUACCAAUGGAUCACCAUAAACUUUAUUGGCUAAUGUUGUCUUACCAAGACCAGGCAUACCCACAAUGGCAACAAUAUCCAACCGGCUUGGUCCCCUUACAAGUCCAUCAAUUAUAAUUUCCCCCUCAUCAUUGAGACCCACCACAGCUUCAUUAAAUAUUGGAGCAGUAACUUGUGAUGGCAUGUGAAUUGUAGUCUUGACAAUACUCUGGGUUUCACAGUCAAAUCGUAUGUUAUCAUAAAUCUCUUUGGCCUCAAUCUUCAUAAGCUUGAUAUCUCCAGCAAUAACAUCCAAACAAUGUUGAUGUUUGCCACCAAGUAGUGUAGAGUCAAUGAUUAUUUCUGCCCUGUAUGCCAGCUCACUAAUACGACUCCAAAGAGCUUGGAGUUUUUCAUUCCCCUUCCGCUGCUCUGCAAUCUUGCCUAGGAAAGGUCUUAAGAAAUCAAGAUCUUCACGAACUGUGUGGAUUUGAUUAUUUGGGAAAGCAAUUGAAUUAGCUGUAGAACUUUCAAGUUCCUCGAGAGUUUCUAAAAGAAAAUCAAUAGAGCCCAGCUCAUUAGUCCUAGGGAAACUAAUUGAUGAUGAUGGUGGUUGUUGUGGACAAAUCUGUUCAAUUUCUGGAAUAAUGAGCUUGAGCAGUUCGAGCAUAUGAGAAGCCACAAGAUCUAUUUCCUUGGGCAAGCUUUCUGUCAUUUCACUCUUAUAAAGGGAGAAAAUCACAAUUCCAGCAUCACAGAGUACAAAUCCAAUACGAUCCUUCAUUUCAUCAUUUAGCUUAUCGAAUUUCUCGUGCUGCUGGCUGAGAAGGACACUCAGGAAUCUUGCUCCCUCAUAAAGUUUUAGUAAUUGAUCCUUCACCGGAACCAAGAAACUGGUGUAAGAUUCUGUUAGCUCCAUAAUAAUAUGUAAAAGAUCAUCAAUAAAUUCGGCCACUAGGUGCUUAUUCUUCUCCAGGGCUAAAGUGUGUGAUGAUGGUGACAACUUGGACGCUGUCAAGACGUGGAUAUAAGUUUCUCGGACUUGGAGAUCAACGGGAUCAAUCUUCUUUUGUA
Molecule: long non-coding RNA, 55536 nt
Filed under: Coffea arabica (coffee)
Lineage: Eukaryota; Viridiplantae; Streptophyta; Magnoliopsida; Gentianales; Rubiaceae
Description: long non-coding RNA (CARA_LNC007320)
Rfam family: Plant small nucleolar RNA R71 (bases 43306-43412)
Source: RNAcentral